This 45572-nucleotide long non-coding RNA is filed under the name Gossypium barbadense (sea-island cotton). RNAcentral describes it as "long non-coding RNA (GBAR_LNC005884)". The stretch from base 44436 to 44582 matches the Rfam family "MIR7502 microRNA precursor family". Lineage: Eukaryota; Viridiplantae; Streptophyta; Magnoliopsida; Malvales; Malvaceae. The record is from RNAcentral.
GGCAUGGAUGUUAUAGGACCAAUUUCCCUAAAAGCUUCUAAUGGACAUCGGUUUAUUUUUGUGGUUAUUGAUUACUUCACAAAAUGGAUAGAAGCUGUUUCGUUUGCCAAUGUGACAAAGACUGCAGUUUGCAGAUUUUUGAAAAAAGAAAUCAUUUGUCGAUAUGGUUUGCCUGAGAGAAUCAUUUCAGAUAACGCCUUGAAUCUGAACAACAAAAUGAUGAAGGAAGUGUGUGAGCAGUUUCAAAUAAAGCAUCAUAACUCGUCACCCUAUCAUCCGAAAAUGAACAGAGCUGUUGAAGCAGUCAAUAAGAAUAUUAAGAAGAUUAUUGGGAAAAUGACUAAGAUAUAUAAAGAUUGGCACGAGAAGCUACCAUUUGCUUUGUAUGCAUAUCACACAUCUGUACGGACAUCUACGGGGGCAACUCCUUUCUCUCUGGUCUAUGGAAUAGAAACUGUGCUACCUAUCGAAGUUGAGAUUCCCUCUUUACGAGUCUUAAUGGAUUCGAAACUAGAGGAGGCAGAAUGGGUUCGAGCUCGAUAUGACCAGUUAAACCUCAUCGAAGAAAAACGUUUAAAGGCAAUUUGUCACGGACAGAUGUACCAGAAGAGAAUGAUCACAGCCCAUGACAAGAAAAUACGGCCAAGAGAAUUCCACUAAGGAGAACUCGUGCUGAGAAAGAUUCUUCCAAUACAGAAGGACUUACGAGGAAAAUGGGCACCAAAUUGGGAAGGACCAUAUGUCGUAAAGAAGGCAUUCUCGGGCGGAGCUUUGAUUCUCACUGAGAUGGAUGGGAAGGAGUUACUGAAUCCAGUGAAUUCAGAUGCUAUGAAGAAAUAUUAUGCUUAAAAAAAGGAAAAUCAAGAUGAAAACCCGAAAAAGGGCAUCUUAAAAAACAAGAGAAAAGAAAAAAGAAAAAGAGAGAGGGAUCAAGGUGAAAACCCGAAAAGGGCAUCUUGAUUAACACAAAAGAUUAGGAUGAAAACCCUAAAGGGCGUUCUAAUGAAGCAAGCACUGGCUUAAAAAGCAAGGCGUUUUGAACGGUGGGUCAAACAGAGAGACUACAGUAUUUGAAGCAUUUUUGAAAACUCGAAAUCUCUUACGCAAGAAAGCCAUGCUCGAAAAGAUUUUUGAUUGAAGAACGUGGAAGAGUUCAUGCGUUGAAUAUCUAGAGCAUUUGUAUUUGUUGAAAUGCGAUCCCCUUUCUCUUUAUGACACUUUUUUUUUACUAUCAUUGAUUAACUUUCUUUGUUUGCUACAUUUGAAAUGAAUAAAUGUGAGGUAUCCUUUUGUCCCUACCUGACCAUUUUCAUGCAUCUCAUUAUGUGGUUCAUUUACAUGAUAAAUAGUGAAAUGACAUACUCUAAACAAAAGAAGUGCUAAGCAUUACCUGGAUAAGAAUUUGAUAAGUACAAGAGCCUCAAAGCAAGGACAAAGUUCAACCAGGGGCAAAAGAGCGAUAUCUGAGAAACGCAGAUUAGUCGUGAAGCUAGAGGAUGGGUACAGGGCCUGAAGAGAAAGUCAAGAGUCAAAGCAAUGAACGCAGAUCAUCAAAAAUCAUGACAGAAAGGGACAUAUGACAAGCAAGCCCAAGGCACAUAGCAUGAUCAUGCAGGCAUAAAGGCAUUUAAGGCAAACAUGUGCAUUUCAUGAUAACAUCAUGCAUGACAUAUACAUAUAUUUCAGCAGAACAAGAGAUUUCGAUGAUAGCUGUACUGAAUCAAAGGAAAGGACACCUGAGUUCCACCAGAUGACAUCUUUUGGUAUUUUGAUGUUUUUAUUUCUAUUUUUCAAAAAAAUCAACUCAUAUUGCGAGAGGUGAGUUGGGCCUCAGGUCACACGCUGAGGUAUUUUCAAUUUCUGUUUUUUCAAUUUAUGCUUUUCAAAAAUCAACUCAUAUUGCGAGAGGUGAGCUGAGCCUCGGGGCACGCUGAGGUAUUUUUAAUUUCUAUUUUUCAAUUUCUGCUUUUAAUUUCUGUUUUUCAAUUUCUGCUUUUAAUUUCUGUUUUUCAAAAAUCAACUCAUAUUGCGAGAGGUGAGUUGAGCCUCAGGGCAUGCUGAGGUAUUUUCAAUUUCUGUUUUUCAAUUUUUGCCUUACAAAUUCUGCUUUUCAAAUCAACUCAUAUUGUGAGAGGUGAGUUGAGCCUCAGGACACGCUGAGGUAUUUUCAAUUUUCAUUUUUUUAAUUUAUGUUUCUAAAAAAAUCAACUCAUAUUGCGAGAAAUGAGUUGAGCUUUAGGACACGCUGAGGUAAUUUCAAUUUUUGUUUGUCAAAACUCAACUCAAUUGCAAGAGGUGAGUUGAGCCUCAAGGUAUUUUCAAUUUCUGUUUUUCAAAAAAAAUCAACUCAUAUUGCGAUAGGUGAGUUGAGCCUCAAGACACGCUGAGGUAAUUUCAAUUUUUGUUUGUCAAAAAUCAACUCAUAUUGCGAGAGGUGAGUUGAGCCUCAAGACACGUUGAGGUAUUUUCAAUUUCUGUCUUUAAAAAAAAUUAGCUCAUAUUGCGAGAGGUGAGUUGAACCUCAAGACACGUUGAGGUAUUUUCAAUUUCUGUUUUUCAAAAAAAAUGAACUCAUAUUGCGAUAGGUGAGUUGAACCUCAAGACGCUGAGGUAAUUUCAAUUUUUGUUUGUCAAAAAUCAACUCAUAUUGCGAGAGAUGAGUUGAGCCUCAAGACACGUUGAUGUAUUUUCAAUUUCUAUCUUUCAAAAAAAAUCAGCUCAUAUUGCGAGAGGUGAGUUGAACCUCAAGACGCUGAGGUGUUUUCCAUUUCUGUUCUUCAAUUUUUGUGUUUCAAAAAAAUCAGCUCAUAUUGCGAGUGGUGAGUUGAGCCUUGACUCACACGCUGAGGUAUUUUCAAAUUCUGUUUUUCAAAUUUUGUUUUUCCAAAAAAUCAACUCAUAUUCCGAGAUGUGAGUUCAGCCUCAGAACACGCUGAGAUAUUUUCAAUUUCUUUUUUUUUCAAUUUAUGUUUGUCAAAAAAAUCAACUCAUAUUGCGAGAGGUGAGUUGAGCCUCAGGUCACACGCCGAUGUAUUUUCAAUUGAUUUUUUUUAAUUUAUGCUUUGCAAAAAUCAACUCAUAUUACGAGAGGUGAGUUGAGCCUCGGGUCACAUACCGAGGUAUUUUCAAAAUCUAUUUUACAAAUUUUGUUUUAAAAAUCAACUCAUAUUGCGAGAAGUGAGUUGAGCCUUGGCUCACGUGCUGAGCUAUUUUCAAUUUCUGUUUUUAAUGUCUAGUUUUAAAGAGUCAAUUCAUAUUGCGAGAAAUGAGUUAAGCUCAGGAUCACAUGCCGAGUAAAGAAUAAAGACUGGAAUUAAUCGAAGACAGAUUUUAUAUCCCUGAAGUUACAGUGAACCUAAUUGAAGUUGCAGUGGAGCUGAUCGAUGAUAUCAGAUCUUACCUUUCUAAAAGUUGCAGAAGAGAAGACCACAAAUUUUAUCUAACUAAAGCGAUGGAAGAGCAGAUUGAAGCUGUAGAUCUUAUCUUUUUAAAGUCACCUUGGAGUAAAUCGAAGCUACAAGGCAUAUAUCAGAAGAUACAGUGGAUUUGAUCAAGACAACAAGAUACAGUGGUUUGGAAAGAGACUACCUGGAUAAGAAGAGCACCAAAGAAUUCCAUACUUAGUAAGACCGGGCAAAAUUGGCCUUUUUUUGUGUCUUUUCUUUAUUCCCGUUCCACGAUAAUAAGCAAAGAGGGGCAGCUGUUGUAGGCCAAUUUUAACCCAUUUACAUCAAAACCCAAUUUAACCUUACCUAACCCACCAAAAUUAAACCCAAAACCCAAAAUCUUAACUAUCCAAAGCUCAAUUUACAUCAAAACCCCAAUGGCCCAAACCCUAAGCCCAAAUCAAAAUAAAAAAACCCUAGCCCACAACCUAAACUUUUCUCAACUAAAUCCUAGCCUUUGCCACCACCAACUCCACUAGCCACACUUGCUCCACCACCACUUGCUCCACCACCUACUCCAUUAGCCACACUUGCUCCACCACCACUUGUACCUACAAAUGAAGACAUAAAUAAUAAAAAAUAUUUUGUAAAUGGCUAUAUAAGCCUUCUCAUAUUUUGUAUUUAAAGGAAGAGGAAGAAGUUUUGGGGGGAGAAAGUUAUUGUAAAGGAUUUUUGAGAGGUUUUUUUAGAGUAAUCAAGGAGAAGAGUUAUUGUAAAGGCUAGUUUUUGGAGUGGCUAGUUUUUUUUUGGAGAUUAAUCAAAUAUCAAAGCAAAAGAGGUUUCUUGGUCUAUUCUCGUUUCAAGUUCUUUGUUUGCUUAUUGUUUUCCUUUCAGUUUUAUUUUGUUUCUUUUAUACGAAAAUAAAAAUAAAAGGAGGAAGCUUUCCCAUUUUUACCGAAAAAGUUUUUUUUGAGGUCUGGCUGCCAUGUACAGUGGCACCGACGGUGGCCGGCAGCGGUCCGGUGACCGGAUGGUGGCCGGCCUUGUGGCCGGAAAUCACCCACUCUCUCCUUCUCUUUUUUUUUGUUAUUAUUAUAUUUCUUAAUAUUAUAUUAUGUAUAUAUUAUUUUAAUAUAUUAGGUAUAUUCUAAAUUCUAUAUUACGUAUAUAUAUUAUACUAUUUUAUGUACAUAUCUUUAAUACUAUAUUAUUUAUAUAUAUAUAUUUUUUCUACAUGUUAUCUUAUGUAUAUAUUUUAAUUAUAUUAUGUAUGUAUUUUUUUACACUAUAUUAUGUACAUAUUUUUUUUUAUAUCUAUUUUAUACAUAUGUAUAUAUCAUAUAUAUCUUAACAUUACUAGUUAUAUUUUCACUAUUUUAUGUAUAUACUUCAAACACUAUAUAUAGUAUAUUUCUAACACUAUAUACUAUUUAUAAAUAUAUAUAUAUUUUACGUACAUACUCUUAAUAUCUUUAUUAUGUAUAUAUUCGUUGUUUUUAUUUCACAUUGGAUACUAUUAUUACGUUUAAUAUAUCGCAUGCAUUGUUAUUGUUUUAAUAUUGUUGUCAUAUUUAUUAUUAGUUUCAAUGUAUUUCCAACUCGUUUAUUUUUGUCUCCCGCCUAUUUUAUAUCAUUCUGUUGUUCAUUACUUUAAAGAUUUUUAUUCAUGUUUUUUCUAAUUUCAAUAAAUAAGGCAAUGUUUCGCAUUUUGGAACAUCGAAGAAUUGUGCCCUAACUUACGGGGUUUCGGUUUUCUUGUUGGUUCUAAAUAGCUAAAUAUCCUUUUGAGUUUUGAAAUGUACGGAUUUCCAAUUUAAAUUAAAAGACGACCUUGUGCUCGGGAAUUCAUGGUAUUGUGUCCUAACUUACGGGAUGUGAUACUCCGAUAUCUCGAGAUAAGGAAAUCUUUAAACCAAUCGAUUUAAGCUAAUUCAAGAAUUUUAAAAUCAGUAUUAAUAGAAAAGAUCGUAUUUCAAGUCCCUUCCCGAUUUUUAAUUUUCGACAUUAAUACACUAACUAAUCAAUUCGGUACCAAUUUUUGGGGUGUGUCGAGGGUGCUAAUCCUUCCUCGCACGUAACCGACUCCCGAACUCAUUCUCUCAAGUUUCGUAGACCAAAGGCCCUGUUUUAGUAAACUAAAAUUGAUUUAUUAAAAUAAAGGUGAUCCGAUCACACCUGAUAAAAGAUUGGUGGCGACUCCCAUUUUAAUUUUCACUUUCAAACAAAGUCGAUCCCCGUUUUCAAAAGAAUGGUUUCGACACAACUUAUUCGAAAACAAUAUUAAAUCUUCAACAACCCUCAACUUUUUUUUAGUUGAAAAGGGAAUAUCAAUACAUUAAUAAAAACUAGUUAAUAGUUCGAUACAAACCAACCCCAUUGUCAUCAAUUAAGAACAACGGGAUUAAAGUAGGAGAGUUGCAAAUGCAUAAAAAAAACAUUCGAGGGAGGCACAAGUUGAAAAUCCCUCCCAAGCGUGUCAGUACACAUGCUUCCGUUUCUCAAGCUAUGUUUGAUAGUCCUAGAAGUCAUAGUAUUCAUCAAUUAAAUGAGACGAAACUAAAUUUAGUAGAGGCAAUGAUAGACGUGAAGUAUAUGAAAGAGGUUGCAUCCACCUCAAGUGCAAUUUUAAGAUAAUGAGGUGAGAAAUCCUUAGUUGAGGAAAGCGAAAAUAAUGAAAGUAGGUAAUUGAAUUAAAUCACUAUAAAUUCGUCAUUGUUAAGCUUUCAUUUUCAUUUUUUUUUUACACCAAUCACUCCUUCUUAGUGUUCAAUACCUUCAUAAAAUCCAGUCUAAGGUAACAUUUAGAUCCAAUAAUGCAACUGUCAACAAUGAAAUGCUAAAUAAGCUUUCGAGUAUUAUAGUGAAAGCAAAAAGGUGUUUAUGGUAGUGAUUGGCUAUUGAGAACCUUUUUUCAAUUGGAUUAUGUUUAUGUCAAUGUUAUGAAGUUGGAUGGUUGCUACUUCUUAAUCGAAUUUGAAAGCCUUAACACAUUGGCAUCCUUUAGAAUGAUAUUGUGGUUGGCUCAAUGAAUGGUUAUCCGAUGUAGAGGUUUGGUUAAGAGGUUCCAAUCCAGCUACGAGACUUGUGUAGAUUUGUUGCUAUGAUAUUUCCCUUCAAGCUUUGGAAUAUGAACACUUUUCAUAAUAUUGCAAGUAUUUGGGAAUCUUUUAUUCAAGUUUAUAAUAAUACAACAAUGAGGUUGUCAAACCUUAGUAAAGGGUUCUUGUUUACUGAAACUAAACAUAUGAAGAAAAGUUUAUUUUAGUUUCAUGCGCUAGGGAGGAUUAUUCAAUUCGGGUGGAGAAGGAGGAGUUUGAUCAACGUUUGCUCAAUCCUUGCUCUGUGAUUAUGAUCACGUAAGGGGUAGUGGUAUAGGCUAUCAUAUUUUAGCUAAUGAUAUGGAAAAGGAUAUUUUGGUGGCUCCUAUGGAUCAUGUUGAAGAAACUGAGUUUUGAUAAUACCCACAUAAUGGCGAUUGAUGAUAUGGACGACGUUACAUGUACGAAAUAGCUCAGAGCUGAUGAAGUGUAUUGAGGGUGGAAAUAGCUCAGGUUUUUUAAUGGAUACAGUUUUGGAGUCUAAAGCGAAAAACGUUAUUGCUACAGGUUGAGAUGGGACCCCUAAUUGAUAAUAUGGUUAGCCAAACUGAAGCCGUGAUACGCAGGAAAGUCAUUGGGUAAAAGGAAGUUUAGGGAGGUUGGUGAGAUCAAAGGAAAAAGGUUUUAUAGUAGUCAUGAAGAUUGGUCCACAUUACUUAAAGAUUUUGCUAGAAAAAAAAAAGGAAAGAGAACUAGGAAAUUGAGAAAAAUUGAACAGAAAGGCAAGGCAAAUACAAAGGGCUUAUGUAAUUGGAAGGAGAUGUCACCAUUGCGUUUUGGAAGGAGAUGUCAUCAAGGAUGAAGAAGAAACAUGAGCUCUCGGGGAAAAAGAAGUCUCAAUGUAAUUGGAAGGGAAGAAAAUGUUGUUGUGAAUUGACAAACAUUAAACUAAGAAGGAGAGGUUUAUAGAAUUGAAGUGGAUUUGCGACGAUAGAAGCUUCAUGUUUUGUACAAAGAAUUGUGGGUGCUUUUUGUGAUAUAUGUUUGCUACUGUGUUUUGGAGAUUUUUGGUUAUUUGUAAUUUGGUGUCUAUUGUAUUGUGGUGUUCUUUUAGUUUCAUUUGUGUCAUUAAGAUGUGGAUUAAUAGUGCUUAUUUCUGUGUUUUUUCUCACCUUUGGUUAGUUCUAUCGUUUUGGGUUUUAAUAAUUUUUCUUUUGACUGAGGAAAAAAGAAGUCAAUCCAGUUGCUCAAGUUUAUGGAUGACAUUUGAGAAUUUUCUUUUUUGCUUUUCAAUCCUUUUUUCUCCCAAAUGCCGUCAUUUUUUUUAAUGUAAUCAUGUGUUUUAUUUUAAACAUAUCAACAUUCGUAUCAUUUUGUUUCACCCUUUUAAAUACAAGUAUUAUAUAGACUUGAGUGACGACUUUAUUUGAAUAUAUUUGAAAACAUUUGAUCAUGUUUGAGCAUCUAGUACAUUUAGUUCCCAGUUCUCAACUAAACCACACAAAACUAAAGUCGCUAUGUUUGGCUCGGAUGCUCGUAUAAUGCCCAAGCCAAAUGCCAAAAGCUGGCAGUUGUUUUCAAACUCCAUAUCUUUUAGUGGAUAAAAGGAGUUUGUUAAUCACUAACAGUGGUAGAAACUAGAGAAGAAUUACACACUGAUAUCAAUGGAGCACGUUAAAUCGACGCUACUCAUUCCCACAGACAAUCUGUCCUGUCUUCCAAAGCCACCACAACACCGUCCCUAUUCCCUAAAACUUCCUUUUUCCUGCACAAAGGCUCUUUCACAACAUCAGCGCUCAUAGUUGUUAAACAAAACUCAUUUGUUGUAUCAGUGUUUCACUUCUUUCCUAUACCCUCAUUUUCAAAGCUUCACAAAAGCCACUCGAAAAUACCUCGUUCCAAGAAUAGAAAAACAACUCCAGAACCAACCUCCACACAAGUAACACAAAACAAAGCCUAGAUUUAUAUAAAUCUUAUUAUGGAUAUCUUAUACUUUCUAUCAUGACCACCAACUUGAUUAAAAUAACAUCGACUUCCCAAUUUGCCCAUAGUCCCAAACUUCCACAAUAUAUUUAAAACACAAAACAAUGAAAUAAAAUUCACGGCACAAGUGUAAUAAACAUAUUAUAUUCAUUAAUAAAAUUAUGACACAUUUAAUCUGUGUUUAUACACAUACCAUAAACCCAAAAAUAAAAGACUGCAUGGUCAAAUUUCCUUUUGAUUCAGAACUAGUAAGUUUAACGUAAAUAUUGUUAUUAAACAUAUUUAUAGAGUUACACAUGUAAUUUCAAUCUAAAGGAAAAUAGAAAUUAAUUAUGAAUAAAUGAAAAAUAUAUCAAUAAGUGAUUAAAUUGUAAGAAUUCAAUUGAUAUUAGGAACAGUUGCAUUUUCAAUAAAUAGAGCAUAAAAUAGUGAGCAAAAGAACUGGGGCUUCUGAGUAGAUUUGGUAAUAUUAGACAUCUAAAGAAACCCAAAUCUGGAUACAUGAAUGCUUAAAAAUCUAUCUUACAUGAAUUAGUAAAAUAUCAUAAUUUAUAUAAAUAUAAAAUAACUUCAACACAGAUUGUAACAUGAUAAAAUACAUGAACAUGAUACGAGUACACAGAAGGUCUAAGUCAAAUACUUCAGAGCAAUGGAUAAAUAGUUGGUAGAGUUUUGCUCAGCAUCAAACUAAAGAAUAUUAUACGUUUUGACAUCUGCAUGAUCGACGAGAACAUGAUUAAUAAUCAAGAAGCAGGCAACUAACCUACGACCCAAAAUUCUGCUGAGCUGAACACGCCACUUCCCCAAUGCCAGCCUUUCACCGCGAGCAAAAACAGUCAGAUAUUUAUCUACAACAUCAAGUCAGGAGCUUUAACUUUGCAGGUGUGCACCAACAAUUCCAGCAUCUUUCACUAGCUGCUCUGACAAAGCUGAAAGCCUGGCUACUCCUGUUUUAACCUCGGUGAAACUUUCAUCGUUUUUCAUCAUGCUAAUCAUUGGAUUAGAACCACUUUGCAGGAAGAUACUGGUAUCAGAAUCAGCCUCAAUACUAGUGCUAGCUUUAAUCAAAAGUUCAUGGCUCAUUUCAGCCAGUUUUUGAAGAGCACUUGUGGCAGCUUCAACUUCCAGUUGAGCUGCCUCGAGCUGCAGCUUCUCAAUGGCCAAAUCACCUAUACUUUUCUCCCCAAUUCUCUCUUGUGCCAAAGCAUAAAGCUUCUUCAUAUCAUUAGCAUCUUCAGUCAUUUCUUCCUUCAGCCUUUGUAGUUCUUUUUCUCUUGCCUCCAACCUUCCAAGAACCAUUUUGAGCUCUUCAUCUUUUAUUGCAAGAGCCCUCUGUGCAGCAAGAACUUCCAUUUCUUUAUCUUUUAAGCUCUCUUUAGUGAAUCUGAGUUCAGUUUCAAGUUGUUUUUUCUGCAAUCCAAAAUCACUAAAAGGCCUAUCUACCAGCUGAUGCAUUAAUUCGCUGCUCACAUCAUCAACAGGCCUCAACACAUUAUUGUCUUCAUCCUUAACUGAGAUAACUAGUCGGUUUGUGAGUUCUGCAAUUCGUUCUAUGACAGUUUCAGCUUCAGAGAACUUCAUCUUUGUGUCAUUCAACUCAUCUUGUACUUUCAGAGCAUAUUCAUCUUUCUCCUUUAAUAAAGCAGUAGCUUGAAUGAGCUGAUUUUCUUUACUGCUCAUAAGCAUCUUCAGCUCUGCAAUCUCUUGGUUUAAUUGCUCUAAAUUCUUUUUGGCAUCAGAGAGUUCCUGGUCUUUCUCCUCCAAUAUAAGCUGAAGAGAAGCUCUCUCAGAUUUCAGAUGCUGGAUUUCGAGUUUAGCCUCCACCAGCUCUACUUCUUUAUUUUGCAGAACAUUGCUCAUUUCAACUAAUUCAGUAUGCUUCUUCCCUAACUGCUUUCGAAGAAAAGAGGCAUCCUGGAUAGCCAGCUGAAGUGAAUAUUUCUCUUUCUUCAGCUCCUCUUGUAACUCUUUUAUUAGUUCCCUCUCUACAGAUAAAUCCCGUUCAAGAUCCUUGUUUCGAGCCUCUACAACCCUAAGCUUCACUCUUUCACUCUCUACUUCUAUCUGGGCAUUUUUCAAACUUUCCAUGUAGGAUGCAACACUUUUCCUCUGUUCUUCAAGCUCAUCGAGUUGCAUUUUCAAUAACUGUUCUUGCUGUUCCAUUUGCUGUCUUGAGGAUGCCAGAGAUUUCUGAGAAGAAACCAACUCAGACCUAACAUCAGAAAGUAGCUGCUUCACUCUUGUGAAAUCUUUGAAGGUCUCAUUAGCUUCUCCCAUGUGUCUAGAUGCUUGUUCUGCAAGUUUCUUCAGUUCUUCUUGGGCUAAUAACCACUCCAUGGUCUGCUGCUGCAAUUUAGCUUCAGCAACUUUCAGCUUCUCCUCUUCAAGUUUCCUUUGAGUCAGAGAAGUUUCUAACUCCUCUUCUCUCUCCCAAAUUGCUUCUCGGAGUUCUUGAAGCUCAAUUUCUUGUUUCUUCAUAACUUCAUUGGCUUCAUUCAGGAGCUGAGACUUCGAUGUAAGUUCAGAACGAAUCUUCUCAGCUUCCUCAGUCUUCUUUACCAAUUCAUGCCUCAUUUUAUCCAUUUCAUCUUCUUUAGCAGACAGUGCAGAUUGUGCAGCAGCGACCUUCUGGUCUUGUUCUUUGAGUUGAAGCUUCAAAUCUUCUAUCUGACUAGCUUGAGAAGCAAAUGCAAGAUUUGCCUGCGUUAGCUUCUCUUCCAGCUUUUCAUGCUUAGAAGAUGCAGCAGCAAUUUCUUUCUCUCGUUGUUCCAACUCAUCCUUCGCACGGCUUAACUCACUUUGCUCCAACACAACCAUUUUCUCCGCAUCCUGUAGAUCAUCUUCCUUCUGCUUCAACGCUGUCAAAGCAGCAAGCAGAUCAGACUCAAGAGUCUGAAGGUCCAGAGCAAGGUGAAAAUCCUGAAGUGGUUCACCAUCUCGGCUUAUUCCUUGUUCGAGUUUCUGGGUCUGCGCAAACAAUCUCUCAAGAAGAACUUUUGCAGAUUCAGCUGCCCCAUUGUCAUUGAUGCUUGACUUACUGUUAUUCAAGACAGAUUCGACAAUAAGAAGAGAAUGGCCUUUCCCUCUUGUUAGUGCCACAAAAGGUAGCGUUUUCUGUUUCCAACUGUGCCUCAGAGUAGAUAACUGCACAAGAUAUUGCUCAACCAUAAAUAACUAGUACACUUGUAGAAAAGUAAUCUGGGAUAAGUUCUAAAACAUCUCAAUCAGAACCCCAAUAAUUUACAUGAUAUAUCCAAAUAUGAAUUAGAUAACAAUUUAUUGGAUAAUAUUUAUGUAUAAAUAAAACAAAUUCGGAUAAUAGAUUCGAAUAUGCAGUACUUUCAAAUCAAACGGCAGGAGGUUUGGUAUAUGUUGAUGUGUGAAACAUCACAUAAAUCGAGUAUUGUUCUUUUGGGUGUCGUUGGACUGAAGUGCCGUACAUCCUCAAAGUUUUGUCAUUGACUCUGAAGAGAGUUUGGGGCACUUGAACCCACGACCUGUCCAAAUGGUACCAUCUUUGCACUCAUUAUCACUUCUAUAUCUUAGAGGUCAUAGGUUCAAAGCCCCAAUGGACAAAGCUCUUUAGCAGCUAUGGUUUGGCCUAUUCAGGCAUCAAGAAGAAGCACCGCUCUUCAGUGCUCACUCCCAUUUGGUAUGAUGUUUCGCACAUCAACAGUAUCAAAUAUCCAAGGGUUACUAUCCAUAUAGGCUACAAAUAGUAAAUCUAAUAUCCUAAUCCAAAAAUUAUCAGAAUCCAAAAGUUACAAAUCCAACAAAUGAUGUUCAUAAAUCCAGUUUUUACUAGCCAGUUUCCAUUUGGUCAACUCACCGACUUUACUAAGUACUUGCUAAAGAUUUUUCAUUAUCUCUAGCAAAAAAAAAGCAUGAAUUAAGCUUGGAAAGAAUUAAAACAGUGGAUUCAGGGAUCCUAACUAAAAAUAAACAUAAAAGUUAGCAUGUAGAUUCCAGAAGAAACAAACUAUUUGGGCUGAAAUAAAUCCAAGCAAAGAAAAAGGGAAAAGAAAUGCAGAGACAGAGAAAACACCUGGCGAAAACGAAGAGGAGAAGCAGCUGGAAGAUUAGGGCGAAAAGCAGCAGCGAAGCCCAUGUUUUUUAGCUCUUGAGCACACUUCAACAAAAGCCCACCCUUUAAUCCCUUUAUUGAAUAAAUAUUGACCUUCGAUUUUGAACAUCGAUUAAAAAAAAAAUCCUACGAAGUUUUGAGCUCGAAUGAAAUGUAACUUGAAAAUGGAGCAAGGGAUUAGAAAUUGAAAAGCAAAACAAAAAGGAAGACAAAAAUUUGCUCCAGCAGAGAAAGAAUCGCGAUUCGACGCCACUCGCCAAAGCCGAGUGAAAAUGAAAUUUUGGGAUUCGGAUAAUGAAUGCCUACGUGCUAGGUGGGGGUGCAAUCCCCUGCUUUUGAUACCACGAGUUAUAUAUGCCAUGGAGUUGUUUUAGUGGCUGGAGAAUUCUGAGGAGGUGCCACGUGUGAUAUAUUUGACCAGGGGAUGUAUAAGACAAUAGAAAUAGAAUACGUUGUUUUAUUAUCUUAAUCGAAUAGAUUCAACUGAAAACUGAUUGGUUCACUCCUAUACUCCAAACUUAGAUUUUUUUUUAAAAAUAAUAACUUUGCUAUAUAUUUUUAAUCUUAAUUCUAUCUUUUAAAAAUAAAUUUUAUAUGUGUAAUUACAAAAAAUUAAAAUUUAUAUAAUUUUUAUAUUUAUCCAAAUAAAACUUUUGCACAAUUUUUUUAAAAAAUAAUAAAAAGGGUAUAGCACAAUAAUCUUGCAUACAAAUUGGUUGGGGCAGUGGGAAUGUGGCAAAUUGUUGGCCAUAAACUGCAAAGGUGUUGAGUGAUGUUUACACUUUAGUUUGUUGAAAGGCAGCUCUUUUUCAAAUUUAUGUGAAUCACGUUAUGCCACUAAUUACUUGAGGGAGAAAAAGUGGUGUCCACACUCUUGGAACCCACCUAGAUAUUUAAACACGAGGGGUGGAAGAAAGAAAAUGAAUGAAAAGUUUGAGGAAAAUUAAAAUCAAUUUGUAUCCAAGAAUUUUCGGAAUAAAUUUCCAUCUCAAAAUUAUUUAUAUUUUUGUAAUUAUAUAUAUAUGAAAUUUUAUUUCAUUUUCAUUUUCUAGUACUAUUAACAUUAUUAUUAAUGUGACACUUUUGUAUCUUUCAUGUAUAUAUGUGCAGAAUUUUUUGUUGUCCCUCUUAAUAGUAUAAUCUUUAAAUUUCGAAUUUACAUUUUUCUUACUAGUGUAAUGUGACAUCAUUUUAAGUAUAUUUAUAUUUAUUCAAGCUGAAAAUAACUAGAUUAAAUUAUUUUAUAAAUAUGCAUAAUUGAAUCAAAUUCAAUAAAUUGAUGAGAUGCUCACUAUUGCAGGCAUUACAUCUAACCCGACUGGUUUCAACAAGAAGAUGGUUGACGACCUCACUUUUUCCAUUGACUCACACAACUGCAUUAUUACAAAGCUUAAAGUUGAGAUCAAGGUGAUUCAACUGAUCAAAGAUCAUCAGAUUACCUUGCAUAAUGAUAUACAAGCUCUCCCAAAGCACCAGUAAUUUGUAUACCUAAUUUAACCAAAAAGGGGAGUAUAUAUAUUUAGAAGGCAUUGUUUUUGUUGUUUUUAUUUUCUUCUUUAGUCUCUAUUUUUAUUUUGAACUCUUGUAAUCAUGAAAUUUUAAACUUUUAUGCAUUUAUGAUUGUUUUUGAAUUCUUUUGAUAUUGUGAUUAUCCUCAGUUUUUUUACUUUUUUGCUAAUGUAUCCCUGAUUGUUUACGAAUUCUUUCAAUAUUGUAGUUAAUAUCGGUUUUUCUUUCUAGAUUUGUAGGCAAUGAAAUAUGUACAUUAAUGGCUAUGUAUCCCGAUAAGUAUUUUUCUUCAAAAAAAAAAGUACAUGGAUGGAGAUUAAUUAAUUCACUUUUACGUAAGGAUCAAGCGGUUGGUACAUUAAUUUUACUAUAUUUCAAUUUAUCUCACAAGAGUGAAAAACUAAAAAUGAAAUGACAAAAAAAAAAGUGAUAAAAGUGAAAAAAGGUAUAUAUGAAAUAGGUAGUAUUUUUUAAAAUAAAAUAACUGUAAAGUUUAAAGAUAAUUAUUAGGACGAUUUAAAAGUUGAUAUUAAAUAACAUAUAUACCCAGAUUUUAUGUGUGUUAAAAUUGAAGAUAAGGCUAUUUAUUUCAUUUCAUAAAGUUACUUGUAGUUUGAUUUUAUGUUUAUAUUUUUCUGUAUAGAAGAGAAGAUGCCGUAAGCUUUUUUAACUUCUAAUUGUUGGGCAAAGGAAACAAAACCCCUCACAAGGCUUAUUUUGCAUGUGCUUCAUUUUCGCUAUCUUUUCCUAGGCUUCAAAAUUUAUGUUUCCAAUCCACAAAUCGUGAAUAAAGCAUCAAGUAAAAAAAAUGUUGUUUCCCCAUAACUAAAUGUCAGUUUUUGUUCAGAGACUUGUGACAAUGGUGACAAAGUCCCUAAUCACAAAGCAUGAUGUUCCAAAUAUAUUUAUAAUUUUAGAGUAUAGUCACUCAACCAAACUACACUUACAAUGAAUAGUUGAUCACCCUUUUACACAACAUGGUUUAACUGUUAAUGCUUGAAAAUUACUGCUAUUGGAACAAUGAUCUCUCUACAGAGUUAUCAAAUGCAGAAACAGGUAAACUUAUCCCCCCCCCCCCAACGAAUUAGAGGGACACAUCUAACACAUGCUUUUAGCUUUCAACUUUCUAUUUAUUCAAGUGACUAGACAAAAAAAAAAAAUAGAAUACAGCAGUGUCAUAAAAGGACAUCUUCUCAUCAUCACUGAUAUACAUGUAACCGCAAAAUUCACAACUAUAAUUGUUAAGAUCAUGCAAUAAAAGAAGCAUGCGAUUGAUUACCGGGAACUGUAAUGGAGAUUGUGGGGGGCUUGACUUAUCAUACUCUAUAGUAUCAAAGAACUACAAUAUUCAAACACCAUUUCAACUUUUCUAAGAUUUUUCUAAUUCCUUAUCAUCAUUCUUUGACAUGAUAUCACAUUUGAGUCUAUGCUGUAGUUGAGAAUUCACCUGCUUUCUUAAUUUAGCAUUGUCAGUGAAGAUGUCUGCGAUGAUCUUCCUUAACUCAUCAUCUAUUCUAGUAUCGUAGUGGUUGUCAUGUACAUUAUUGGUAUCCUCAAUGGCACUGCUAUCUUCCUUCGCUAAUAGUUGCACCUAAAGCAUAUUAUGCAGGAAAAAGAUUAGCUAAAGGCAAAGGUCAGGGAAGAUGAAACAAUAAAAUAAUGGAAAAUUAUAUUACAAAGUUGCCAAAAAGCAAGGGGCAGGAUGGGGAAGAAAGAACGAGAGAUAGAGAGGACAAAAGUUCGGAAUCCAUUUUAUGGUUUAUACUUAAGGUGUGACAAAGCCUUUCAUUUUCUAUUGAAUAUUUCCAAUAAAAAUGAAUAUAUAAAGAUCAACUCAAGGGGCAAUAAUUUUCACAAUGCUGGAAAUAUCCAAAAAGCAAGGUACCUCUGCAAGUAGGACAGUGAUUUUAUCAUCAGAUGUAGUCAACAAAUCCAAUGCUUCUUCAACUAAGGAAGAAUCCUUGAUUAAAUUUUCAUCAUCAUCUAUGGACAAAUUCACAUUGCACUCAAGAAGACGAUUGCGAAGAAGUUGGCAUUCAUUUAGCAGCUUUUCUCUAGCAGUUCUUACACGCUUGCUGGUUUGUCUUUCGUGCUCUAGUUGUACCUGCAAAAUCCAAGGACUAAAUCCAUUAGCAACGAUUUGCUUUGACCACAUUGAAUGUAAAAAUCUCAGUAAAUUUGGGGAGCGGGGUGUUCUGGAAAUGCUUUAGUACAGAAUUACCUCCACCUCAGAUAUCUUUGAUAGUGAUUGAUCAACCUCCUGCUUCAGUUCUUUUUCAGAUUUCCUAAGAGACUUGACCUCUUUAACAAGAACUUUAAUUUCGGCUUUUGAUUUAGUCUCUAGCUCUUCAUAUUGCUUUGAGAUAAUGUUCAGCUGCUCCUUACUAGCAUUUAACUCUUGCAACAUUGCAUCUUUCUCCUUAGCAGCAGAAUGAUUAGUUGUCUCUGUUAUUUGCAUCUCAUCCUGUCUCAAGUUUUAUUUUUAUCAGUGAAUACUAAAACAUCGGCAAGUAUAUUUUACUUUAAGCGGCAAAGAAAUUGCCUCAAAAUGCAUGUUAGGCACUCAAAAAAGAUUUGCAAUGCUUGUCCAAGGGAAAUCAAUGACAGUUAACUUUUCAAACAAAUUUCUCAAGUAACAGCAGAAAACUUCAACAAUCAGGUUCUAUAACAUUCCUAUCUGGAGAUUAGUUUGGUUUUAUCCUGUGGGGUGAGAGGCAGAGGACUGGAGAUAGACGUUUAAUGGAAAUAAGACAUUAAACAUUUAGAGACAUAUAAUCACUAAUUUUAAGCACUUCCACUCCAUGCAUAAUUUAUAAGGCUAUGUUCAUCAUCUACCUUAAUUGACAAAAAUAUCAGCACAAUGCACCGAUAUCAUGCAUGUGCACUCGUGUGGCAGUUAUAAAGAAAAACAUAUUUCAAGAUUAAAAGGAGUCAAAUGCUUUACCUGUUUAGGAUUCAACUUCAACUGCAUUUCCAAUAAUUUACGCCGAAGUUCUUCCAUUUCCCACUGCAUUUGAGUAAACCUUUCUCUUUCAAUCAGGAGAGCUUGCUGCAGGUUCUCUUUACUUUUCUGUUUGGUGCUUUCAAGUUCCACUUCCAAAUCCCUAACCUGAGAAUCUCCAAUAUGUUAAUUAAACUCAAAUUGCUAAUAUUUUAUUAAGAAAGCUUAUUCAACCUCUAUUGCAAUAUAAAGCACCCAAAGACAAAAACCAUUUGAAAACAGAAUUAAAAAAGCUAUAUAGGAAUCUGGUCAAAAUUUGUUGGAAAGGACACAGGUCUGAAAAUCCUUGACCAAAAAGGGACAAAAAAUAAAUUAAAAAAAAACUGACCCAUAAAAAAAAGAACUAUAAAAAAUUUCUGUUUUGCACGCACAAUUCAUCUAAAUGUAGAUCAAAUAGAACAUAUUAUUGAAAGAAAAAAGAGACCAAUAUAGUGAAAUAUCAAAAGUCAGCAUCAAAACUAUAUACUGUCACUGCAAAUAACCCCCUGAAUACUGAGAAUAUCUCAAUUGUAUUGAUACUAAACAAUUUAUAUUAUGAUAACUUCCAAAAUUGAAAUCUCAAAAGCCACAUUGAACUGCUUCUACAAACCUUUGUUGUAAGAUAACCUUUCACAGCUAUUUCUUGAUUUAGUCUUGCUAUAAGAUCCUCCAUGUCAGUUUUUGCAGUGACUAGUCCCUGCUGCAUUGUCAAAAGAAACCUAUUCAUCUUGUGGCGCUGAUCCAAUGGAAGAACUAUUUGUGUAGCUCCAGAAAACUGCAAAUCUGAUUUUCCAAGAGUUCCCAUGGUACUCAAUACUUCAGAAGUUCCAGGAAGGUCACAAGAUGAAUUUGAAAUUCUAAAGUUGCACGUAUCACUACCUCUCAAAGAAGUUACAUCACUCCCAACACUUUCAGUUGAUAGCUUUCGAGCAUGACCAGCCAUCUUAGCAGGCUCUGGUUCGGAAAACAGUUCCAAUCCAUCAGCGCCAAGAAAUGAAGCUCUAGAGCCAUUUCCAUUAUAAGUACCUUUCUCCAAAGUUUUAUUGAUGUUUCUGUGAAGUGUUUUAUGCUUAGGAAAAUCUUCUAGCUGCUCCAAAAUUGUCUGUCCCAUAGAUAGUCCCUCAUCAAUGUUGGACAUACCAUACUUCACAAAAUUUUCUAUUGAACCUGACAAAUCUUCAUCCAAUGUCAGAUCUGCCAAACCAAUGUCAGAGCUGUUAUCUCUCCCUAACCUAGGUGACCCAAGCUCAGAUGUCUCAUAAGCAGUAUCACUACCAUAAUCUGAUGUCACUGAUGAACAACCAGCAAUAUGAGAUGUGUUUGAACUGGGAUGAAUCUCAUUUGAUGAAAUUGUGCUAUUUCCAGCAACAUUUGGUUCUGAGGAGCAUUUAUUUACCUCUUGGAAUGCUGAAAAGAAUAUAUAAUAUGUAAAAAGUCCAAGUUAUUGAUAAAAAUAAUCUCGACCAAGAUAUACUACAUAUCCUCUAAUAGACAUCCACUAUUGCUUGGAUUCUAUCAGAUAUCCACUUUUACAGGAAAAUUGUAGAAGAUAAGAUAACUACAUCUGGAAGUCCUGUUAAUGAAGUAGAAUUGGACAUACCAGAUCUUGCAGCAGCUUCUAGUUCAAGAAAGGACGCAACUGUGACACUUCUCGACAAAUCAAUGUCAGAUAACAGCUUUGUCAUCCACUCCUCCAAUGAACACCUUCUCUGCAACAAAACUAAGACUUUUGAGGACAUUAGUCACUCAGAUAAUAGAGAUGAUAAACAUUUAAUCAGAAGCUUCCCUUUUUUCUCUCUCUGUGUUUUUUCCCAAACAUACCAACUUGCAUCGCAUAAACAGUUAAUUGCUACUGUUGCAACUUAAUAAUCGGCUCCUUUAGCUAUCUAUAAUUCUUGAAGUUCAAAUUUUUUGUUAAAGAAAAAAGGUUUGUCAAAUAAAAACUGUAGUUCAAUACCAUGUUUGUAUGUCUGUAUAGAAAACAUAUGAUUUGAACCUUGGAAAUCAAUAGUGGUGAUUUCCAUUUUCAGGAUUCUUUUAGUUACAUCAGACAACUGAAGGAAAACACCUUUAUGGGCUUCAGUUCUGAAUUAUCCAGUGCCAAGUUACGUAGAGAACUUUGACAUGCUUCAAUCAAUAUAGCCUACCACAAAGACAUGCCCCAAUUUGCGCAAACUGUUUCUAGGACAAAAUAAUGCAGGGAAAAUGUCCAUAAAAAACUAAGUUUUGUAGCACAAAGAUCUGAGAAGUUCUAAGUUUGCCAUCAAGGAUGAAUUGUAUUAGCAAAUAUAAGGGGAAGCCAAAAAGCUAGUACUGAUCAUCAGAGAAGAAAACAAUGAGAAAUGAAAUAGAGUUAUGGCACAUUUUCCAGAUGAUAAAGAGAAGAAGACACUACAGCAAUUCUAUUAAAACCAUAAAAAAUUAAAACAGACACCCCAAAGUGAAAAGCUUAUUGCCUACCUCUUCCAACAAAACUCUGCUUUUCAUACGCAACAAUCCCUUGGGUGGUGCAGGGGGAAGACUUUUCUUGGGAAAUGCCGUUUUUAGCUGUAGACAGAAGUCAAAUAACAAUAUAAGAGGUGAGGUCCCAAAUGAAAUGUAUUUGAAUAUUUUAGUCAGAAUGCAUAUAAUCUGUAUCCAUAGUUCUGCUCAAGCAAUUAUGUCAUAACAAUCAGCUUCAGAACAUUACACUCUAAAUAUGGAGUUCUUGCUGCAACUAAAGCAAACUCCAGGACUUACUUCAGUAAAUAGCUUCAAAAAAUCAUUAAAUCUUCUUAAUACUCCACGUGUAGUUGUAACGCCCUCCGGUGACUGUAACCCAACCUGUACCCUGUAAAACUGUCCCCCUAAGAAUGUUAACAGAGAACUGUGAAAAUUAUAUUAGUAUGACUAAAAUGACUAUAUCUAUAUAACUGAUGAUUACAAAAGAAUGCCAGCGUGUCAAUUUAAAAAAUGAAAUUAACUCUUAGAGUGUUAGAUUGCCAACAUAGAGAAUUUAAGCCCCUUUACAUGUUGAAAGUUUUCUGAUUUGUAAUAUAAUAAUCCAUUAGAAAAGUACUAAUUUUUUUUUAAUAAAUAGAAAAGUACUAGAAUAUUAAUAAACAGUGAGGCAGAAUUUUGUAUUAUGAAAGAGAAUUCAACAUAUCACUAAGAAUAUUACAAACUACAAAGCAGAAUUGGAUUACAUCUAUCAUAGGCAUAUACAAUGGUGGUUACCACAACAGGAUCUGAAUCUCUUGCUUUGGGAAGGACAACCCAAGAUGGUAUUGUAACAGAGUAACUCCAUCCUGUUUGAGGAUCAUGUGGCCAAACAGUUUCCCUCCCAUUCUGCACGUAUAUGUAUAAUGAGUACAGGCUCUUACUACAAGAAUCAAAAAAUAAACGAAGGAAAAGAAAAUCAUUUCUUUUUUCAUGCUAUAAGAACCAUAAACAAUGGUAUUGAAAAUGCAUCAAAAUCAAAUCCUUAUUUUAAGAUGAUUUCUAGAUCCUUGCUUGAGUUCUCAGAUCAUCCUGCUUAACCAAAAAAACUAAUGCAAUUCAACUUGAUGCAGAAGCUUAAUUUUAUAAUAUUUUAUUUUAUUCUUUCAGUUUUAUUUUAUGUAUUAGAUAUAUUUUGGGCAGCUAAUAUUAUUAGUUAUUGUCAGAUUUCAGUUUCCUAAUUAAGGAAUAUUUGAGUGUAUCAAAUAGGAUUCUGUAAAUAUUUUAUCCCUCUUUAAGGCUGUUUUUAGGUACAGCAUCCCUAGAAUUAGUAUGUUUCCUAGUGUAAAGUUUCCUAAGUUAGGCUCACUAUGUCUAUAUAUAUUUAUGUAAUUUCUUGUGAAAAAUAUAAUUGAAAUAGCCUGUUUUUAACAUGGUAUCAGAGCUUUUUCUGGGAUUUUUUUUCUUUGUCUGGCGAUUUUUUUUCCUGAUUCCAACCAGCCCUCAAGCCUGUAAAAUUUGUUCAAGCGAAACAUGACUGAAACUGUCAAGAUCAGUAACACUGGGGAUGUCUCAGAAGUUUCUGUGAACAACUCAAACCCAACAAGUGAGUUUCAGAACAUCCAAGUAGCCUACAGGCUAAAUGGGAAAAUUACCUGAAGUGGUCUCAACUGAUUCGUACGUUCUUGAAGGGAAGAGGAAAAAUGAGUCACUUACUCGGAACUGGACCUAAAGAAGGAGAUCCUAAGUUUGAUGCUUGGGAUGAACAAGACUCUAUGAUAAUGUCUUGGUUAUGGAACUCUAUGAUGCCAGAAAUCAGUGAUACAUGCAUGUUUCUUAACACAUCCAAAGAAAUAUGGGAAGCUGUGAAAUAGACUUAUUCUAAAGUUCGAGAUGCUGCUCAAAUCUAUGAAAUCAAGACUAAGAUUUCAUCUACCAAGCAAGGAAGUCGAUCAAUCACGGAGUAUUCCAAUCUGUUGCAAAGUUUAUGGCAAGAGAUGGAUCAUUACCAGUGCAUCCAGAUGAAGUGCAGUGAAGAUGCAGCACUCUUAAAAAGGUUCGUUGAAAAGGAUCGAAUUUAUGAUUUUCUUGCUGGACUAAAUGUUGAGUUUGAUGCAGUAAGAGUUCAAGUACUUGGAAAAGAGGAACUACCAUCACUAAAUGAGACAAUUGCAAUUGUUCGUGCUGAGGAAGGAAGAAGAGGAGUUAUGGUUGAGAACAGUCAAGUGAAUAGUUCAGCCUUGGUUACAAAAGGUGUAAAUGAGAGGAGAUUUGGCCUGGAGCAACCAAAUAGUGAAGAUAAUAGACACACAGAAUGUACAAAGCCUAUUAACAGGGAUUCCGUAUGGUGCACCUAAUGUAAAAAGGCCCGUCACACUAAAGAAAGAUGCUGGAAACUCCAUGGGAAGCCACAAACAACAAAUAAAAAUUUUUCAGAAAAAGGUGGACAACCAAAGGGACAAGGACGAGCAUAUACAACAAGACAGCUGGAUGGAAAAAAUAAUUCUCAAGAAUCACCUGUUGAAUUCAAUAAAGAAGAAAUUGAGAAGUUAAAAAAUUUGCUGGGAUCAUUGGAAAAAAAUUUCUUCAACAAGUACUUGUAGUUUGGCCUUUUCAGGUAUAUCCUCUUCUCAAGAUUCUAAAGUCUCAGAUAUAGUCACCAAAAGUUCUUGGGUCAUUGACUCAGGAGCUACGGACCACAUGACCCACUCCUCACAAAAAUUUGUUUCAUAUACACCUUGCCCUAGUAGUGGAAAAAUAACAGUAGUCGAUGGUUCUGUGAUCACAGUGGCUGGUCAGGGUGAUAUUGUUAUAAACAAAACCCUUACUCUUAAAAAUGUCCUUCAUGUUACAAAACUAUUUUCCAAUCUUUUAUCCAUUCAAAGACUCUAACUGUAAAGUGGUUUUCUAUCACAAUCGAUGUCUUUUUCAGGAACAGAAUACGAGGAGGAUAAUUGGACAUGCUAAGGAAGUAAAUGGCCUAUACUAUCUUGAAGAAUCCAGUGGAGAAGUCAGUGCUCUGAAUUCCUCACCUUCAUCUUUCAUAUCCAAAUCUAUUAAAACCAAUAAAGACCAAAUUUGGCUCUAUCACCUUCGCCUUGGUCAUCCAUCGUUUAGAGUCCUUAAAAUUAUGUUUCCUUCAUUGUUCAAAGGAUUGGCUGUUGAAAAAUUUCAUUGUGAUAUCUGUGAACUUGCAAAACAUAAACGUACCUCUUUCCAGUAAGCAAUAAAAGAACUUUCACUCCUUUUACUCUUAUUCAUAGUGAUGUUGGGGGCCAUCCACUAUUUCAAAUAUUUCUGGGGCUCGGUGGUUUGUAUCCUUUAUUGAUGAUUGUACUCAUGUGUCUUGGAUAUUUCUUUUAAAACAAAAAUCUGAUGUAAGGUCUGUCUUUCCAACCUUUUACAACAUGAUCAAAACACAAUUUGGAGCUGAAAUAAAAAGGUUUAGGUCAGACAAUGCUAAGGAUUAUUUCAAUCAAUUUCUCUCAACAUAUUUCCAGGAAAGAGGCAUUAUACAUGAGUCAUCUUGUGUUAGUACACCCCAACAAAAUGGUGUUGCCGAAAGAAAAAAUGGUCACAUUUUAGCUAUUACAAGAGCCUUUUUGUUCCAAAAAAAUGUCCUUAAACAAUAUUGGGGGAGGCUAUUUUAACUGCUACUCAUUUGAUAAAUAGAUUGCCUACAAAAGUCCUUGAAUCUCAAAGUGCUAUGCAAGUUCUAGCAAAAUUCUUUCCUGAUUUCAAUACUUCAAGUAACCUUACUCCCAAAAUAUUUGGCUGUGUUGCUUUUGUGCAUGUUCAUUCUCAAAAUAGAGGAAAAUUUGAUCCACGAGCUAUCAAGUGUGUCUUUCUUGGUUAUUCUUCCACUCAAAAGGGGUACAAAUGCUAUCAUCCAGCCACAAAAAAAAAUUUUGUAAUAGCAGAUGUUACUUUUGCAGAACAAGAGAAUUUCUUUACUCGUCCUUAUCUUCAGCUGGAGAUCUUAUUCACAGAAGAUAAGGACAAAGAAUUCUUUCUUCUUGACAUUCCAGCUCCUAUCCAGCAACAAAACACCCACAUUCCAGCUCCUGUCCAGCAGCAAAACACUCACAUUCCAACUCCUGUCCAGCAACCAAACACUCCCACUCAGUCCUUGCCUACUAACCAACCUGCCCGACUUGAAACAAUGGCCCCUAUACAACCUGAAACAGAGCCUAAUACACCCAAAUCACCAAGAGAAAUUCAGGACACUACUCGUUCUUUACUGGUUUAUUCAAGGAAGAAGGCACCGGUGCAAGUUCAAUCAUCUUCUUCUCCUAUACAACCUGAGGUAAUUGCUGAACCUACUUUGAAUUCUAAUACUGCAAAUUUAGAUGAUUUUCCCAUUUCUAUUAGAAAGGGGACUAGAACCUGUACAAAACAUCCCUUCUACCUAUUCAUGUCUUACAAAAACUUGUCCCAUAACCACAAAACCUUUCUUACCAGCCUAAAUUCUAUCUCCAUUCCAAAAACUGUAUCCGAGGCAUUAGAAGAUGAGAAUUGGAAAAAUGCCAUGAAAGUUGAAAUGGAAGCUCUUGAAAAAAAUAAAACAUGGGACUUAGUGCAAUUACCGAGAGGAAAGAAACCAGUGGGAUGUCGCUAGGUGUACACAGUGAAAUAUAAGUCAGAUGGUUCUUUGGAGAGGUACAAAGCAAGAUUGGUUGCUAAAGGGUACACUCAAAUGUAUGGAAUAGACUACCUUGAGACAUUUGCCCCUGUAGCAAAGAUGAACACUGUAAGAGUGUUGUUGUCACUAGCUGCCAACCAAGGCUGGAAAUUACAGCAAUUUGACAUCAAAAAUGCCUUUUUAUACAGUGAUCUUGAGGAGGAAGUCUAUAUGGAUGUUUCUCCAAGAUUCGGUCCAAAUACAGGAAAGGUAGUUUGCAGACUAAAAAAGGCUUUGUACAGACUAAAACAAUCCCCGAGGGCUUGGUUUGGAAGAUUUACCAAAGUAAUGCUCAAGUUAAGGUAUAAACAGAGUCAAGGAGAUCACACUCUAUUUGUAAAACACUCAUCUUCAGGGGGAGUGACUGCUUUAUUAGUCUAUGUUGAUGACAUUAUAGUGACUGGUGAUGAUCUAGAAGGAAUGGAGAAUUUAAAGAAAUGCCUAGUAAAAGAAUUUGAAGUCAAAGAGCUCGGUAAGUUAAAAUAUUUCCUUGGUAUUGAAGUGGCACACUCUCGGGAAGGAAUAUUCAUAUCUCAGCAAAAAUACAUAGUUGAUUUGUUGACAGAGACGGGCAAGUUGGGCUGUAAACCAGCAGAGACACCCAUAGAGGUGAACCAUAGACUUGGAAAUGCACUAGAAGAUGCAGCAGUUGAUAAAAGGUCAUAUCAAAGACUUGUGGGGAAGCUCAUUUACUUGUCUCAUACCAGACCAGAUAUUGCCUAUACAGUAGGUGUUGUAAGUCAGUUUAUGCACAAUCCCAAAGAAUCACAUCUUAGAGCCGUAUAUCAGAUUCUACAGUACUUAAAGGGCACACCAGGCAAAGGAAUCCUAUUUAAAAAGGGGCAGAAUUUAACCCUUGAAGCCUAUACUGAUGCAGAUUAUGCAGGAUCUAUGGUUGAUAGAAGAUCAACCUCGGGCUAUUGUACUUUCCUAGGAGGCAACCUUGUGACUUGGAGAAGUAAAAAACAAAAGGUUGUGGCUAGAUCUAGUGCAGAAGCUGAAUUUAGGGCGAUGGCUCUUGGAGUCUGUGAGUUGUUAUGGCUAAAAAUUAUUUUGGAAGAUUUGAAGAUCGAGUGGGAAGGUCCAAUGAAGUUGUAUUGCGAUAAUAAGUCUGCUAUCAAUAUUGCACAUAAUCCAGUUCAACAUGAUCGAACGAAGCACGCUGAGGUUGACAGACAUUUUAUAAAGGAAAAACUGGACAGUGGCUUAAUUUGCACUCCAUUUGUGUCUACUGAUGGUCAACUAGCAGACAUACUUACCAAAGGAUUGUCUGGGAAGUUGUUUCAGAAAUUAGUAAGCAAGCUGAGAAUGGAUGAUAUCCACUUCCCAGCUUGAGGGGGAGUGUCAGAUUUCAGUUUCCUAAUUAAGGAAUAUUUGAGUGUAUCAAAUAGGAUUCUAUAAAUAUUUUAUCCCUAACUUUAAGGCUGUUUUUAGGUACAGCAUCCCUAGAAUUAGUAUGUUUCCUAGUGUAAAGCUUCCUAAGUUAGGCUCACUAUGUCUAUAUAUAUUUAUGUAAUUUCUUCUGAAAAAUAUAAUUGAAAUAGCCUGUUUUUAACAGUUAUCAUUAGGUUUAAAUCUAGGGUUAGGAUUGAAACUUUUAUAACUUUACUUGCAAGAAAGAAAGCCUAUAUAAAUAAGUUCUAAGCUUUACAGCCAACAUUGUUAUUCUUACUAUUUUCUUUGAAUUAAUAUAAAGAAACUAGAGAUUUUCAAUAACCCCAAAUUUUCUAGAAUUCCAACUUCUUACUCGUUUGUUCAACCCUAAUUCUUUCUAUUAUUGAUAUUCUCUCCCCUAAACCAUAUCGACUAGAGUUUGCUUUUAACCCAUGGUUGGACAAAUUAGAGAUUGAGAAAGAGGAAAUCAGUGUCAAGAAACGAGAUUGGCUGAAAUACAACAUGGUUGUUUCCACAAGAACAAGUGCAAUGCAGGAGCUUAAAAUUAAAAAUAAAUAUAUUUUAUUAUUUCAGUUUAUUUUAUUUAAAGUAUUAGAUUUGUUUUCUUGACAGCUUGGAUUAUUAUUACUUGGGGAUUAAGUAUAGGAUUAUUAAUUAAAUUUUUUGCAAGAAAGCCUAGAAACUUUACUUGCAAGAAAGAAAUCCUAUAUGUUGUAGGCUUUACAGCCAUAAUAAUUAUUCUGAUUAUUUCAUUUGGGUUAACAGAAAAACUAGAGGUUAUCUAUAACCUACGCUUUCUAGAGUUCCAUCUUCUUUCCUAUUCAUUUGUUUAGCCCUAAUUCUUUUUAAUUGCUACUGUUUUCUUCCCCAAUCCACAUCAAAGUGGGAACCCAAACGGAGAUUAUGGAAGCUACCCACGCCAGUUUGACAUGCCUAAAGAUAGCCUUGCUGAUAAAUCUAAUUUGAUGAGGAAGAAAACCCCUUUCAUGAUGUUGGACCUGCAUACUGUGCAACACGAGGUGGACUGGAGGAAUGGUUAGUGUGUGCCCUUGAAUUAAAUGAGGAUUGAAUCAAAGUUGAAGUUGUUGAUUUUUUUGGAAAGAUGUAUAUGGAAGAGCAAGACUAUGAUUUGUUAGAUCCUAUUUAUGAUGAGUAUCCGGAAGAAAUUGAGGAAGAAUCCUUGGUUGCUCGUGAAGUGUAGGCAACAACAACUAAAGAGGGAAAGGAGACUAGUAUUGUGGUAGAUGCACUUAUUUGACUACUAAAGGCGUUAAGUGCUCAAGUGAAGGGUUUUGAAGAAGUCAGAGAUCAAUAGGAAACUAACUCAUAUUUUGGCCCAAACAUAUUUGAGAGUCCUAAGAUGUUCAGCAUGACCCUUUGUGAAGCCAAAUCAGUUAUUGAAAUAGAUGCUCCAUUGAGUGAUGAUCAGGACCCUAGCCAACAUUCUAAAAAGAAGUGUUAUCUUUGCCAUACCCAACAUAAAAUCUAAGAGAUUGAAGUAUUCUUUAAAGAGCAUCCUCAACUGGAUGAUAAGCCUUGUAUGAUAUUCCUACGGCUACAAAUCAUAUUCUUGCAGGAAUACCUUGGCUGAAUGAUAUUCUUGAUCGACUGGUUCUAUAGAGUUUUUAAUGUUUGAUUUGAAGAGUGGUUACCACCAUAAUAGAUUAAGAAUUGUUGAUGAAUGGAAGACAACUUUUAAGACUACAGAUGGCUUUUAUAAAUGGUUAGAAAUGCCAAGCACAUCUAAUGUGGAUCAUGAGUGCGGUAGGCAGACAACUAGACACUACAAAACAGUAUGAAGCUGUUGUAAUAGCUACUUUAAAUGUUGUAAUUUUCUCUUAAACCUACUCAACAAAAACUGAAGCUGGUGAACCUGCCAGGAGUGAAAGCAGGAAUACUCCUACUGCUCAUAUAUCAAACAAGACACCGGUUGAGGUAGACAAGAAAAAUUUUGACAAUAAAUCAUGUUAGCACAACAGCUCAUGAAAAAGCUGUUUCAGCUUGUGAUGUUCCAAAAGAAGAAAGAAGAAAGUAUAUGUUACUGAACUUGGUGCAAAGGAACUAGAAAACAAUGGAUCUAUUGUGGUUACAACCUCUGCCCAAAGAGCUAAUUCUUUGAAACCUGAGUGCAAAAACCUAUAUUGGCUUAGAGAAUGUUGCAAGUUCAAAAGAGACUCCAAAUGAAAAUUAAUUACAGAGAAUAAAAUGGAGGCUGAUAUUACAAGCUCUCAAAAUGCUGGUAAUAAGAAAGAUGUUUCUCAAGGAACUCUUGCUUAUGCUGGUGAUCAAACAGAUUCUAGCAUUCAACCUGACUUUACCAAUCCAAUGAAACUACCUCGAAUUGCUGAGAGGGGUAAAACCAACUUACGGUCUGGUUUUAAAGAAUAUCCAAAAGCUGAUAUUGUUGGUAAUAAUUCUAGAAUGGUCCUAUUUUGUGCAGGUAUGGCGGAAACUUCUAUUGAUGAUUUUGAAACCAAAGAAGAAAGUUGUAGAAUGAUUGAUAUACUGUCUGGAAUUGAGGUGGAGCCUUCUUUGAAAGGAUCUCCUAGAACUUCCCAUGGAAAUAGAAGUAUUGAUCUUAAGGAUAUUCUUGCAGAAACAUUGUUUUGUAAUCGAUCUGCUGCUUAUUUGAGUGACGUAUCCUUUGACAAGUCAGACAUGCUUUUUAUGACUAUGAGGUUUUUUAUAGCGGUUGUUUCUAAAGGUUCCAAAGCUUCAGAAAACUCGAACAGUCUCGGAUCUAGUUCUUUGGUGGCUGACAUGAAAUUUACUUAUUUUGCUACUAAUCAAAAUUGUGGAAAUCAGAAAAGGAGUGGAGACCAUUAUGCAACUAACAUCCUGAAUUUGAAGGUUAAUGAUCCCUCUCUUUGUGUGGCACAUAUUGAUGAAGUUGAAGAAAGGGAAGGUGGAAGAGUUUGGAAAGUUUACUAUUCUGUAGUGGUUAAAGGUGCUGAUAAUCUUGACCAGGAAAUCUAUCGAAUUAAGUUGCUUAAGAAGGCAAAGUUAGGAGAAAGAAAACCUGAAAAACAGACUCAUGCUUAAAUUUUUACCAAUGCAGAAGUUUUCAAACCAGUGAUAUGGAUCAGGAAAACAACAUGAAGAAUUGCCUAAAAAGAGCUGAUCUAGAAAAUUAUGCUGACACGGUGGAAGUUGUCUCACUGGAGUCGAGUUUUCCAAGCCAGGGAGAAUUACGCAGGAGCUUAAUUUUAUAAUAUUUUAUUUUAUUAUUUCAGUUUAUUUUAUAGUAUUUAGUUUAAGUAUUGGAUAUCUUUUGGGCAGCUAAAAUUAUUAGUUAUCUUAAGGUCUAAAUCUAGGUAUGGAUUAAAACUUUAUUUGCAAGAAAGCUUAGUAACUGUACUUGCAAGAAAGAAAGCUUAUAUAAAGAAGUUGUAAGCUUUACAGCCAACAUUGUUAUUCUUUUUAUUUUCUUUGAAUUAAUAUAAAAAACUAAAGGUUUCCUAUAGCCCUUGAAUUUUCUAGAUUUCCAACUUUCUUACUCAUUUGUUCAGCCCUAAUUCUUUAUAUUGCUACUGUUUUCUCCCCUAAACCACAUCACAGCUGAAUGUGCUUAUAAAUCAAUAGAAGCACCGAAAAUUCUUAAGAACCAUAUCAUGAGGAUUCAUAUUGACACUGAAACUUGGGGAGCAAAAUAACCUAAAUUCUAAAGUUUACUAGAUUAAUGUAUUAAAAAGGCAGGUUAAAGCAAUAAACGCACUGUCUUUUCCAUUUAAGAUCAAUGUAAACUAAGUUACUGAAACAAUCUAGCAAUCAAGUCUUUGCAAAAUUGAUUGACUUUCUGUUUUCUCGAUCCACCAUAUGAUCACUCAAAACACUAUUGAGUGCUAAUUCAGAUUCCAAACUAACUUCAAAUAAGAAAAAAAAAAAGAGGAAAGAGAGAUAAAUUUGGAGGGAAAGCUGACCCAUUUACGAGGGGGCGGACUCCAAUCCAUCCCGAGAGGCAGCGGCGAAGUCCCAUCGUGCCUGUGCUUCGGUGGACUCCGUCUCUGCAUCAUCUAUUUCUCUUUUUUCUAUUAUUCACUGCGAAAACGACGCCGAUCUCUCUCUCGUGGAACCGACAUAGAACAUUAAAAUCAAGAGGCGAAGAGCUUUAGGGUUUAAUUGAUCGGAUCAGAGGGAGGAAAGUAGGCAAGUUGGGCCUUUGGCGUGGAAAUUCAAUGAUCGGAGACCGAUUUCGCCUCUUUUUUUUUCUCUAUUAUUAUUAGUAAUAACAAUUCGGAGUUGAAAAAGAAAAGAAGAAGAAGAAGAUAGAGCGCAUUUUAAAGGCGAAAAGAAAGGAGUGGGCUAAUUUGAGCCGUGAGCGUAGCGUAUCAUCUGAAAACCUUGCUUCUAUAUUCGGAAGGUGUCUUCUUCUGCCUCUUUUUAGUCGUCUCUCUCAAGUCCUCGUCCUGGAUGCCAAAAUUUCGAUCCCACACCUUUCUAUUCUUUAUUUAAUUAAAAUUCGGGACACUUGUACUAACCUAAGAAUGAACGGUCUUACCUAAUUCUCUUGUUCUGCCCUUGCAUUAAAUUUCAGGCCAAAGGCGAUAUCAAGCUAUCUAUACGGGAAAGGAUUGUAAUACAACCACGAUAUGAAUUAUGUAUACGAGAAUCGAGAAAUAAUGAUUCUAUAAAACAGUAAUAUUAUAUUAUUUGUAUCUCUUUUAUUAGUUUAAUAUUAUAUUAAUAUUUUUUAUUCAGAAUUUUAAUAUUUUCAUCUUUAAAAAAUUAAAUAAAAAUUUUAAAAUUUAAGAUAAAAUUAUUAAUAUCACAUUAAAUUAUUAGAAAUUAAUAAUAUUUUUAUUUUAUACAAUCUUUCUUCGUAAAAAUACAUAUAUUUUGUCUAUUCAAACAAACACUUAUAGAUUGUGUUGGGAUAACAAUUUGUACAUUUGUUUUAGAAUUGCCUAAGUGCAAUUCAAAGUUGACAUUAUUUUACUUUGAUAUUUAUGGUGUGUUACUCAAUCAAAAAAUAAAAGAGGAGGAGGAAGGAUCGACAGUCUCAUCUCAAAGUAUUAUUCUUAUCUCGUUAUUUCUUUUACUUGAGGACCAAGCUUGGGCCUUUAUUCUUAACGGAUUUUUAUAUAGGCAGGCGAAUAAAUUGUUGAAUUGGUCCCUUUGCUUCUACAUAUAUUUUAUUUCGAAAUAUAACCUUCUUCCUAUUCAUUUUCUUCAUUCUGUUAAAUUUUCUUUAUUUUAUAUUUUGUUAUUUUAUUAUUAAUGCUAUUGUUGAUGGUUCUAAUCAUAUCUAUUUUUUUACACAAUAUUUAAAACUACUCAUAGUCCCUUCUCAACUCAUAAAUACGAAGACAAAGUACUUCAGUGUACUCAAAUUCACACCCUUUUACAUUGACAAUAACAUUCAUAUCAAUCAAACUAAGACUCAAUCUACUAUUACUAUUUUUAAUUUUAGAACCAGAAUAAUUUACAGCGUGUUUGGUUCGCCGUAUUACCCAAUCCAUUACGCCCCGAUUACGCGUGUAUUACAUUACGCCCCUAAUCCGGCGUUUGGUUCGCUGUAUUAGCCAUUACGCGCGUAUUACAUUACGCCCCUAAUCCCCAAAUUCCCGUGUUUUACAAUCCGUUCCCAAAUCGUUGUAUUAGCCAUUACGCCUGGCCUCCCUCCCCAUCUCUCUGUUUUACCCUCCAUCCCUACCCGACCCUCUCCUCUUCCGUCCUAAUCAUUUUCUCCUCCCAUUUCCCACUGAUUCCGUUGAUUAAUCUGUCGUCAUCGUUUCUUCUCGUCUCGGCAUCAAAUUUCCCUUCCCCAUUUCCUCCCAACACUAUCUGCUCCGCACACCAAAACCCUCUCUUUUUCUCUUCAAUAUAUUCACAAAAUUGGAAAUUCUAGCAGCAGCAGCAGCAGCCAAAACAGUAACCAGCAGCAGCCCCUCUUUCUUCUCUUUCUUUCGAUUUCACACUUCUCAUAAAUGGAACAUUUCAAUCAGAAAAUGGAAAAGAGAAAUCAGUUGCAUGAGAAGGAAAAUUACUAAGGUUGUUGGUUUGCAUAUUUAACUGGGUUAAUCUUAGAAAUCUUGAGGGAGAAAACUUGUGACAUAAUGCAGACUAUUAGUUAGAACAGGAACUAUGUUUGGUGAUACCCUCUGAGAGUAGUAAUUUUUGGUAAUAGAGAGGAUGGUUAAGCAGUACAACUUUCGAUUAUGACUGCAGGAGGGUCUGACUAGGACAUUCAUUAAACAUUGGCUUAGGACUAAUAACUAUUUGUGUGCAAGAAGGUAGAAAUAUUUGUUAGUAAGACUUCUUAAAAAUUGGAUGUAGGGUUAAUAGUAUUAAGAAAACUGUAUUAGUUGUAUGUUUGGUGCCGCCCUGGUCUGUGAAUGGUGAUUUGCUCUUUUGGCAUCUAUGUUGAAGCUAGUAGCCAAAAGAAUGGAGGCUUUAUGCUUGGUAGCAGUUUUGAGUAGUAUUGAAAAUUUUAGAAAUGGACAAAGAUAAACACAUACACACACAUCGUGUAGGUGCAAACCUAAGAAGAAGAAUGAAGUUCCUCUAGCAAGUAUCUUAGCCAAAUAAGUCCACAGAAGAAUGAGCCAUAGCUGUGUAGCCUUAUUUGGUACUUGGUCUUGCAACAAGGGCCUUCUUCUUAAUCUUCCAUGAUAAAGAUAGUUGUAGAGAUAUCUAUCAAUAUCUUGAGGGUGGCAGUGAGUGUUAUACAAUUGAUGACUAUUUAGGUUGAUCUGAUGUAUUUGAGAAGUAUGUCGUAAAUAAAAGUAAUAUGCUAUGUUUACAACUAAUGGGAAAUUUUGAAGUUCAGUGAUGUAAUGAGGUCGGAAAUUUCCAUGUCAAGAUAACCAUGUAGCAUUUCCAACUUUUUCUAUAACGUAUCAGCAACUAGGGCUGUUAUUCUUUUAUUUUAGUCAUAACCUUGGUGUUUGUUAUGGUCAUUGUAAUGUCAUUGCAAAGGCCGAUGCAUAAUUUGGCUCCUUUUAGAGUUUCUGAUUGUACCGGAUGCACAUCUGCCUUUGGAACCUCGAGUCAAAAUGAAAUGUUAUGAUCUUUUCUUGCCCUAGAUUAUUGAAACCUGUCCGGAUAACAUGAUUAACACCUACUUUUUAGAUGCUUUAAGCUUGAACAUGCUUUAUUGUUCUUUCAUAAAACCGCAAAUUUGUUGCUCAUGUCUCAGCAAUAGAUAUGAAAAAAUUUGGGACUUGUUUAUGUGUAAUUUCUUUUUCCUUUGAAAACCGUAAGUAUAACUCUUAAAAUUGCUUCUGUACCUCUAUGUUUGAAUCAUUGAAAUUGCAUUUGCUAAUUUUUGAACUCAUUGAUAUUCUCUUCAGUGGCUCUCUAAAAACAUUGGUAAGAAGGUGGAUAAGUCAGCUCUCUCUAAUGGAUCUGCAAUGACAGGUACACCGUUUCUUGUUCCAGGUUACUAUUAAUACUCAUUGGGCUAAUUUUUGUUUUUAUUUGUGCAGAUAAGAGUACAUCAGCACCAUCAGGUGUUCCGACUGCUUCUCUUAAAGUCCUUCGUCCAGAUACAUCUCAGAUGGUGAUUUAUGAUCCAAGGCAGCAUCAUGGUACAAGCUUUUGCUUGAGUAAAAAUAUAUGCCUGUGAUUUUUUCAAUGGUAUUCUAUUUUUUUAGCAACUUCAUUGGGCCACGAAUGGAUGGAGUAUCUCAUUUUGUCAUCUUGUUUAAUUAUGGUGUUGACUUGUUCAUAUACAUUGGUCAUUAGCAGUAUUGAACUUGAAACUAAAGAUAUCCUUUGCGUAGACUUAUGCAGUCAUUUAUGCAUGAAAUAGGCAUAUGAUUCUGUAGAAAAAUUAGACCUCAUUGCCUCAAUAAUCGUGUGGUUGUUUCCAAUAGUUUUUUAGUUUCCUUUGCUACUUUAGGUUGUUGUCUUUGUUUUAAUUAAAGUCUUAUCUAUUUGCUUUGGUCAUUAGCGAGAUUGCAAUAGAAGCUUUCAAGAAGUCCUUUUUAGAGAAUUAUGUGGUCAUCUGUGUAUGAAUAUUCAAGCACUGCUUUGAUGUGAUUAACAAAUUUACUCUUCUGAUUCUUUCUAGUGAACAUCUGAUGUAAUUUGACUUGGAAAUGAAAUUAACCAAAACUAUUGUUAUUCAUGUAAGUGAUACGGGAAAUGAGAGCAAUUAAAAUGCUCCGUAGGUUUUGUUUGUCUGAUCGAGCUCUUCAUUCUUAGGUGAGGUCAUAUGGCUGAUUCUGGGAUUUAUCUUAUUAGAUGGUCUUUGAUGCACACUGGUGAAUACGAAGGAUUAUGAGAUGUGCAUGCGCCCGAGUAAUUUAUAAAUCAAGCCUAAAUCAUUGAUCUAUAAAUAGCAAAGCAGUUUUACUUAAAACUGUCAUAUAUGUCCAGGAAUAUGCCCAUUCAUCUUUGUAUAACUACCGUCGUGAAUCUUGGAAAUGGCAAACCAAAUAUGAGUAUUAAGAGAAAAGAAAUAUAAAAUGUAUUAGAAUGGUAAACGAUAAAGAGAAAAGCUCAAGUUAGCCAAAGGGCCAGGCAUUGAAAAGGAAAAGGAACCAUAGAGAUUCUCCAAUUUUCAAAGUCAAGGGUGUUGGCUUAGAACGGGUCAAACAUAAACAUGCAUCUCCUAUGCUACUAUUAUGCGUUUAGAAGUGGUGACCCCUAACUAGCUUAUAACUUUGUUGAAAACAGUAUUGUAUUAACUUCAAGAGAAAUGAUGCUGGGUGAUCGUGUGGUGCAGUGUAGUUAUAUUUCCGUUUUCAAUAUAUUAACUUCAAUAGAAACGGUGCUGGUUGAUCAUGUGAUGCGGUGCAGUUAUACUCCUUGGUGUAACUUUUAAGGAAUUAUAGCUGUUAGGAUUUUACGUUGUUUCUUUUUUCCAUUCCCUUUUUGUGUAAUUUCCUCAUCGAGAUAGAAGAGGGAAGGUUUUGAGAGAGGCUGGGGUCGGAUGUUUAAAAUCUAUAUCUGAUAUGUACAAUGAAUUAUUUUAUUUUGCUGUUCUUUUGGGCUUGAUAAUGGCUUUAAAGGUCACCAGCUUUUAGCAGUUCUGCUCAUUUACCUUCCGGCAAUUGACAUGACUUAGAGUGGCAAAUGUUAUGCUUUUACCUCUUAUAACAUUGAAUUGUAUGCUUGUUGAAUCAUAUUGAAAUGCUAGAUACUUAACUGACUAAACUUGUUUGAAUGUAGGAACUACAGUUCCAUCAAACACCACUACUGCAAUUCUUGCUGCUCCCAAUUUGUCGAAUCCCAUGGCUACAGUUGUUGGUGCUGCUUCAAACCCAUUAACCUAUAAUUUGUAGUUGAAUUUGAAUUAUGAUCCAAAAUGCAACAUAUCAAUGAUGAAAUACGGCGAUGCAUCUGCUUGAAUUUCUCUGUCUAGUUGGCCUUUUAAGUCCCUUCUGAUUUGGUAUCCUUGGAAAAUUAUUUGUUUUGCACUCUUGGCAUUUUAAUAUCAUAUUAGAAUAACUAGUUUAUAACUUUGGAGUAAUGAUUCAUUGUAAUUUUACCCAUUUUUAUAUAUUUCUUUAAUUUUUUAAUUCAUCACAAGGUUCAUGCCAUAGGGGCAAAGCUAAAAUCAAAAAAUAAAAAAGAACCUCAUUGAGGAAGAAAAUUCAGAGAAUAAGGUAAGAAAACCAAAAAAUAUAGCAACUGAGAGAAUAUACAGAGCUAUGUUUCUCCGACUCUUCAUUUUGCUUGAAGUAUCCCUUUUUUAUACCCCUGUCAGAGUAUUCAUUUUUCUUAAAGUAUUUGGUUUCAACACCCAUGCCCGACGAUGAAAGAACCUCUUUGAGAAAGUUAUACAAUAGAUUUAUUAUAUAAAUUAUUUUAAAUUAUAUAAAUUCAUAUAAGAAAAUUUAUUAUCAAUAAUUUUAUGAAAUUAUAUCUUAUUAAAUUAUAUGUAAUAAUAAUUAUUUUAAAUUAUACAAAUUCAUAUAAGAUAAUUUAUUAGUUAUAAUUAUUUUAAAUUUUAUUAAAUCAUAUAUUUUAAUUAAAAUAUAUUUAAUAUUAAUCAUUUCAAAUUAUCUUUUAUAGUAUCAUAUAUUAUGAUUUGAGUAAAUUCAUAUAAGAAUAUUAAUUAUUAAGAAUUUUAUUAAAUUAUAUAUUUUAAUUAUAAUAUAUUUAAUAUAUUUAAUAAUAAUUAUGUUUAAAUAUGAUUAAAUUAUUUAUUUUUGAUAAUAAAUAAUCUUAUUAAAAUUUAAAUAACAAUAACAAUAAUCAUUUACCAAAACAAAUUUAUGCUAAGGGUAUUCUGGUCAUUUUAGUUUUCUCCAUUAUGCUAUUACACCUCUAUUACAUUCAACCAAACACAGUUUUACUAUUACGCCUCUAUUUCAUUACAUUCAACCAAACAGUUGAUUUGCUAUUACACCUCUAUUCCAUUACACCUCUAAUCCAAUACAGCGAACCAAACGUGCCCUUAAUCUUUUAGACUUAUAAAGCAUAAUCUUGGAUGUAAGCAGCCAUGUGUCGUGCAUGAUUGGGCUUCAGUUUUCACUAAGCCCAUGACAUUCAACACAUUGGUAUUGCUCUCACUCACAUUCAUUAUUUUUCAUAUGUAUUAUUUCCCCAUAUAAGUUUAAUCCACCCAUAAAUCAUAUGUUUUAAAAGUAUUGAUUAGUAAUUUGAAAAUUAAUAGAUGAAAAGAUAUUGGAUAGGAUCUCAAUCCUUGAUCCAUUGGUCUUGCCACUAUUAGAUCUAAUUGAAGUUGUAGUAGCGUAAAAAUUAACCAAGGAAACCAGUUAGGGUGAAGUCAAAGAAUAUCUUUCUGGGGACUUAUAUGACAAUUUUUCAUUUAACUAGGGGUCAAGGUCCUGUCUCCUUUGGCUAUGCUCUUCAGACCAAUUAGAGAUCCGUGCUAUUCUUCUAGCUACGCCCCUGAAAUCAAUCAAAGAUUUGUGAUAGUAAGAUUAGGUUCGACAUUUUUUAUUAAAUGAUAUAAUUGUAAUUUUAAUCCCUUUCAAAUUUUAAUAAUUUGAUUUACUCUUUUUUAUUUUUUGUUAAAUGUUUUUUUUCAUUUUUAGCUGCUUUCAAAUAUUAAAAAUUUUGUUUAAGUUAAUUUAAUAAAAAAAUUAACUUCAAUUUCAUUUUUUUUAUUUUAUUUCAAUUUCGUCUAGAGGUAUUCAUGAGUCAGAUUCAGAUUGAGCCCGAUUAUGAUAUUAACACACUUUAUGUUUACCCAAACUUGACUCAACUCAAAAUACAGGCUUUAAAUUUUGCCUAAGUCCACUCAUUUUAUUUUUAAAAAAUUAAAACAUAUAUUUAUUAUUUAUAUAUAUAUAUAUAUUAUAUCUCAACAUUCUUUUAUUGCAUAUUAUAAAUUUAAUUUUUUAUGUGUUAUGAAUUAUAUAAUAUAAGACAUUACAAACAUAAAAAAAGAUGAAAUUAAAUCUUUAAAUAUUCAAAUCCAAGUCCAAUUUAUAUUUUAAAUAAACUUAAUUUUUUUGUCCAAACAUAUUUUAUAAACCUAAUAAUUUCAUCGAAACAUUUCAAUUUUCCAAAACACCUUCAAAUUGAGAUGAAUAGAUUCGACAGAGUGGUAGAGAUCAGACAAGUAAAUCAUGAAGAUCACGUUUGUUUCAACAAUGUCUGCAUGCAGAGAAAGAGAGUCGGUUGUUUUAAUUAGAAGGACAAGACGUCAAUACCCCUCCUAUGUCUCCUCUACCUUUGCCAAAUUAGAUUUUUCACUCUGCACCUACAUUCAUAUAUGUCUCUCUCAAUUAUACUAAAACAUGCGUGUCUUAAUUUCUUAAAUAAGCAAUGUUUUUACCCUUUAUGUCCUAUAGUUUUAUUUGUAUCAUGUUACUAUCAUAGAGUUUUACUUUCUAAUUGCACUAAUAUUAACAUGUAUUUAUGAUCAUUGCAUGCAAUUAGGGGAGAAUUUAGAGGUUGAUAGGUUCCGGUACCUCUAAAAAAAAAAUUUCUAUUUUAGCAUGUUAAAAUUUUUGAAUUAAUAAAGAUAAAAUUGUACUUUAGUCAUCUAAAAAUGAUAAAAUUUUGAUUUAAUCAUUUAAAAAUUAUAUUUUAACUAUUGUAAAAUUAUAAUUUAAUUUCGAUCCCCUAAAAAAUUUUUUAACUUCGCCGCUGCAUGCAACAUAAUUUUAUUAUUUCUAAAUUUACUUUUGAUAUCAUCUAAAAAUUUAUUUAUCAGACAACACGUUUCAAAAAUUUAACUCAGAUUCCUUUUAAUAUUUUUUGUCUUCAUAUACCUCUUUUAAUCUUAAACUUAUUAUUGUAAGAACUUUCACUUUCUCCACCGAACAAACAACAUAAAAAAUCAUAAAUUCGGAAAAAAAAAAUAAAAAUUAAUACCUAAAAAAAAAAACACUAAGACUAUCUUUAGGUUUCUUCUCAAUAUGCUCUCCCAAACUUUUACUACUAGUUGAACUUGAAACAACACAACUCCAUAAUAAAAGUUUAAAGUAGAAAUAAAAUCAUUUUGGUUGUAGAAUCAUAAGAAGAACUAAUACUAUGAAGGAAUAUUGAUGAAUAAGAAGAAGAUCCUCUCAGUAAUUUUCCACAGAUUUUUUGAACUGUGUUUGAUUUCAGUACUGUUGCAUGGUGAAAGGCUUUAGCUUUUUUUCUUGAUACAGUUCAAGAAAGCUGUGGAAAACCACAAAGAGAACCAUAGCUGCUGCAUGCAAGCAUCUGAUCACCUAACCAUAUCUCAGAUUGAGAAGAAUUUGGUAGAUGAAAGGCAAGAGAAGAGAAGAGAAGAGAAGAAGUGCAAGUGGGAGAAAUGAAAAAGCAGAGGGCUAACCGAGUAGUAUUAUUGUGAUGUGAAAACUGAAUAUAUACACACACAUAUAUACAUAAAGAGAACCCUUCAUUUUCAAAGGCUAUUCCAUUUGUAUUAUACUUACAGUUACGUAUGAGAUGUAACAUUAAUGGCUUUACCUUUUGGAGCUUAAAAUUGUAAAAUGAUGUGAUCUUUAAGUAAUUUUCUUGAUGUGUUACUGAUUUUAUAUUAGAUAUGUUUACACUAUAUCAAAUUUAAAUUUGUUCUAAUUUUGUCAAUGAGAAAUGAAAUGGUAUGCCCUUGGGUCCUCAAUGGCUCAGGUAUAGGGGCAAAAUCAGAAAAUUUUUUAAGGGACAAAAUUAAAAUUAUAAUCUUUACGAUAAUAAAAAUGUAAUUUUACUAUUUUAAUAGUCUCUAUGUUUAAAAUUUUUAAAGGAUUAAAUUAAAUUUUUAUCAUUUUUAGAAGACGACAAAGUAUAAUUUUACCUUUACUAAUUUAAAUUUUUAAAAAUUUCAAAUGGCCUAAAUGGCAAAAGAAUUCAUUUUAGGGGGUCGGGCCCCUGCCAACCCCUCGGUUUUGCCCCUACUAAUGUUCUAAUCUUACAAUCUUAGCUUCUUUCCAAGAUUUAUUUUGGGUUUUAUUAAUAGGUGCAAUGGUAAAGAACAUUGUAUUUUCAAGGGGAAAAUUUAAGUUCAAACCCUAGAAAAAAGGUGAAUACAAGGGGUAUGUAGGGUCCUUGACCCCAAAAAUGGAAAAUUGAAGUUCUAGUCCCUUAUAAAUGAUUAUAUUAUAAAUUAAUAUAAGGUAAAAUUGUACUUCUCCCCAAAAAAUGAAAAAAAAAUUCUAUUUAGUCCCUUCAAAAAUAAUGAAAUCAUAAAUUAAUAUUUUGACAUCUCAAAAUUUUAUAAUUCAAAUUUGGCCUCCCUAAAUUUUUUUUGAAAAUGACGUUGUUGGAAAGAACAACCAUGAACUCGGAAAUGAUUAGUCUUCAUAGACCGUAAGACAAAUAUGAAGGAUACAUUAAUUAUAUAAAAAAUAUAUUAGGAUUUAUCGGCUAUGACUCAUUAAUAAAUGUUUGGGAUAAAUGUCAAAAGCUAUACAUGAACUUUGACUUAAUGUAUAAUUUUAUACAUGAAAUCUUAAUUUAAUCAAAAUCUCACAAAGUAUUAACACAAUUAAUGAUAUAGCAUUAUUUUAUAUUUAUAUAUUGCAUACACAAAUAAUUAUAUUUAUCCAAUAUAAAAAUAAAUCAAUGUAUUUAUUUAAAUGUGUAUGAUUAAAUCAAAAUUGUAUCAAAUCAAAGUUCAUGUAUCAAAUAGCACAUUGAAUAAAAAUUUAUGUAUAAUUUUGAAAUUUAUCUCUAAAUAUUUUCUCUUACUUUUUUUUAAUGUCCCAUCGAAUUUGGUAACUAUCAAGAUUUGUUAUGAUCUAGUUUUGGUUAUAUUUUGGUAUUGUGCUCUUUUUUCUUUUUUUUUACAGUGACGAUUUGAAUUCGAAUCCAAACUAUUCAUAGGGUAAAUGAACACCCGAUUAAUAGGUCAAACUUUGAGCUCAAUCUAAUUGUGUCUUGGGUCGAUUUGAUUCUAAUUAUAGUUUAUUCCAACAUGUAUGAUUUGUUAUUGUACCUAUACAUAUACUUAUGAUUGUCCUUGUAAACUAAAAAACAAAAGAGUCUAAUUUUGUUAUUGUAUAUAUUGAACUUAUAAUUAAUCAUGUCAAAUCAUUUACUCUAUACAUAUAUAUUAAACUUCUGACUAAAGGUGGAUUUGGAUGGGUGAUAGGAUGCAAUAUAGUGUGUUUAAAUUUUUUUAUCUCACGCUACAUUAUCUAAUUUUACUGUUACUGCUAUUUUUAUAUUAACCACAAGUAAACGCAUUUUCUAUCAAAAUCCACCCUAAAUUAAUAUCACAAAUCAAUUGAAUGCUGACUCAAAAUAGAUGAACAAAAACUUAAUCAUAAUACACAAUAAAAUUUAACCAUUUAACAUGCUGAAAGGGCGUGCGUUGCGGUUUGCAUCAGAAGGUCCCUCGGGCGUUUCGCAAAUGAAAAGGAUGGUACGUGUGGGCAGAUGGGUGGGGAAAAUAUACAUAUGUAUAACUGCUCUGAGCCCAUGACGUAGUACUUCAUGUGGACUUGUUGUCACCUCUCAUAACCCAUUUAUCAAACCAUCAAACCCUUCUUCACCUUUCGGCCAUACUUUUUGCUUUCUAAUUUUUAUUAUACUACCAUAUUAUUAUGUCAUCAAAACAAAACAUCUAGCAAAUGUCAAGAAACUUUUUUAUAUCCUUAUCUAUAACAAUUUCCAUAAGUAUCUAUAAUAUAAUUAUAUUUCUAUAAGUGUUUGAUAAACCAUUGGAUUUCUUUUAUUUCAUUAAAAAUUUAAAUUUUUAAUAUUUUAUUUUUUAAAUGUGUUUAAUAAUCAUUUUAAAAUUUUCAACAAAAAAAUAUUAAAUAAAAUAAGUAGGUAAGUUAACUGCUUAUCACUUAUAUCUCAUCUAAUUACUUAGUAAUAACAUAAGGAAAAGCUUAUUUAUUACAUGAGUAUUAAAUUGGCUCCUUAAUACAUAAUGAAUAGUUAUCACAAUGUUCGAUAGACAUUUUAAAUUUAUGUAAUACAUGUAUUUUACCACAUUUGAUUAAAGUUUUUUAACAUAAUAUUAAUGUAUUAAGUUGAUUUUAUUUUAUUAAAAGUUUGAAAUAAAUUAUCUUUUUCUUAAAUGAAAUAUUUAAAUUAAUAUAUUUAUAUUUCAUCCAAAGCUAUUUAAAAUAAUGCAAAAUAUUAUAUCAAUAAGAUUAAAAUUCAAAAAAAAUCAAUAUUUAUUUUUAUCAACCAACAUAAUUACAUUCAAUACUUAUAUUUACUAAUUUACCAAAUAAUUUUAUAAUAUAAAAUCAACACUUAUAAAAUUUAGCAAUAAAAAUUUAGUACUUAAUUUUUCAGCACUUAAAUUUUUUGUUUAUCAAAAACACCCUAAAUUAAAUAUAUAAAUAUCUAUUAAUACACGUUUAAAAGAAGGCUUAAUUGAACCCCAUAUGAUGGCCUGAUGGUAAAAGGUGUUCAUUGCCCUAGGUGUGGCCUGGGUUCAAGUCGUGUUUUUUGUUCAUUUAGAUCAAAUUCGAAUCUUGAAGUCGACUUUGUUGAGAGGAAAUGAUUUUGAGUUUAAGAAAAUAGGAAAUGAAAAAGGUUGUGUAGAUAUUUGCGCAAUUUGGGUAUGGAUCUUUGGAAAGCAUCUAAACGAUUUAUAUAUUAUUUUUAAAAAACAAAAUAUUGCAUGUUCACAUUUUGGCGAUUUGAUAAGUUAGAGAUCAUCUGGUAUAUAACUUUAAUUUUGAUGGAAUAUGAGUGCAAAUUUUUUUCACUAGGGUGCAAAUUCAGACAGUAAAUGUAGUUGUUUUUAUUUUAAUAACAACUGAAGUAAAUCAAAUUUAAAACACCUAGACUUUAAAUUCUUGGUUGUUAAAAAAGAGUUUAGAGUGGUUAGGUGUCUAUAAAACAUUUUGGGACAAACUCCAUGAUUAUGGAUCCACUUACUAAGGGUCUACUAUUCAAGAUUUUUUUUAUGAGCACACUGCUCAUAUGAGUGUGAUGUCAUUUAGGGAUAUUCGACUUUUAGUGGAAGUUUGUAAUUUAUAUGCUUUUCUAUCAUAGACAAAUUUUUACUUAUUUUAGUUUGCAGAUAUUUUAAGGUUAUUCUCUGCAAAAAUAAAGUUUAUUUGAUAUAUUAACACUCUAAUUUUAGUAAGGUUUGAUCUCACUAAAGUUUAAAGAGGAUCAGUUAAAAAUAGACAUGUUUAGAUCAUAUUACAUAUAAUUUCCAUAUUACACAUCCAUACUUGAUCUAUUUCAUUUGAUUGUGUUAAUAUAUGUGAUCAUAGAUGAAUUUAGUUAUGAUAUAUGUAAUGAAAGUUGCAUUGGAUCUAUGUUAACAUAAUUAAUGGAUGUUCAGAAUACCUUUUGGUUAUGAUAAUAAAUUUUUGAGCUUGUAAGGCUUUAUAAUGACAUGUAAUUAAAAGAUAAUUAUAAUAUAUAUAUGUGUGUGUGUGGGAUUCAAGUGAGAGAUUGUUAGAUAAUAUGGACGUCGCAUGUAUAUUAUAAGAAUAAUUACAUGUUAUUAUUUACUAUCAUAACAAGUUAACCUAAAUUAAAAGUGAUCUAAUAUAGUUGAGGCUUAUUAGGCUUUAGUUAUUAAAUAAAUUAUGGAUCAAAUAUGUGUAGAUACUCUAGUCAUUAAUUUCUCAUUGAUGGUGGGCUGAUUAGAAAUCAAGAUUAAUGUGCAAAAGUAUUAAAUUACGAUUAUGGUCCCCAAAUUAGACAUAUGUAACUUAUCUGACAUCCCAUAUUCAAAAAAAAGAGAGUUACCUUCUCUAUUGAAUGUAUUUAUAUGUUUUACAUUUAGUUAAUUAUAUUCAACCGGUAAAUUUAUAUUGAAAGUUGAAUAAUAAAAAUACUUAACUUAUUUUCUUUUAUAUUAAUAUUAUAAAAAAAUAUAUGUUUUUAUUAUAAAUUUUGGAAAUAUUAUAUUGAUAUGAUUAUUUUGUUAACUUAAGUUGUCUAUUUGUUUAAAAUGGAAAUUACAAUGGAAGUGUUAGAUUGCAGUGACCACUAUGGCUUGGUACUGCGAAAACUGUACAAACAAAAACUCAAAGAACAAGUGAUUCCCUACGUCUACAGAGCCUAGCUCACUGAGUAAUUCCACUAUCUUUUAUCCACAGUAAAACAAGUUAUUCACAUUCUAUUAUUUUUCAAUUACAGAGAUCUCACAAUUAUACCUAAAGACUAGAAUGCUCACCUCCAAAUCCCCCUUGAGAACUUGGGCAGUAAAUACUCUACAAAAUUUACAAUAAUAGUGUGCACUCUCUCACAAGAUAGCUCUACAAUGAAUAUAUUAGAAUGCACCCAAUAAGGUUUCCUAUAAAACUUAUACAAGCCUCCAAAUAUAAAUCAAUUUUGGCUUGCUAAAAUAGAAUCUAAGUGGAUAUAAAGUAACUAUUUGAGAAUAGCUAUUACAUCAAUGACAAUCAAAAUAAAGUCACUCAAAGAUAUAGUCUCCAAAAUCAACAGCACUAUCUCGAUCAUAUCUCCACAUUCCAAGGGCUUAAUUGAUUCAAACGAAUUCAAUCCAAUCUUCAAAUGCCAAAAAUUAGUUUUCAUAUAUGGACCAAAAAAAUCUUCAAUAAAACAACACAUAACCAGGUCCAGCAUUUUCUUCAUUAAAUUGUCAAACUAGAUAAUACAAGUUUUUGACCACUUUAGUGGUAGUUUACGGUUGGCACUGUUGAGUACUACUCAAUAACUUUCAACUCAUUGUGUCUCAACAAUUAUAAUAAUAGAAAUGUCAAUUAUUAAAUUGAAAAAAUUUAGAUUUGACAUAUUAUAUUGAAAUGAUUAUAAUAAAUAGCUACGUUUGACUAACAAACAAAUUAAUUUAUGAAAAACAAUUAUAAUUAACGGUAACAAGAACAAUUUUACUAUAAAAAACAAUAAUAAUAAAAUUAAUUUUAAAAAAUCUUAUAAAUUGUAAUAAACAUAUAAUAAUUAAGUAAUGUUUAAAAUAAAUUAUCUAAUAACAUUGAAAAAGUUUAUCCAAAUUAGAAAUAAAUACUUCAAACGAGAGUGCCGAAUAAAUAAUGUAAAUAUGCUUGAUUAUUUCCAUUUUUAGUUAUGAUAUAUGUCCUAUAUGUGGAACUAGUUUUAGUGAGACAUGUUAGGUAAGUUGUGUCAUUUGUAUCCAAUAAAGGUAAAUUAUUUUAUUAAUUUUAUAAAAAAUUAAAAUAAAAUUUCAUUAUGUAACAUUAAUAUAAUGAAACAAAGGUCCCCAUAUAUAUCACAUGUAUUCGGAAAACCUAUGAUCGACAUGCAUCUCUCCAAACUAUGUAGCCACCACUCAAAUAGCUUCCUUUCAUUGUCAAGUUAAAUGGUCAUAUAACCAUUAAUCCUUGCCUAUUUAAAGUUUUACAAUUACAAGUUGAUUGAAUCUUACCUCGAUUAACAUGAAUAUUAUUAUUAAUAUAAGAGAAUAUGGAUUCGAAUGUACUGAAGCGCAUUAUCAUUCUAUUUAUGAGUUGGGAUGGGAUUAUAAAUAAUCUUAAAUAUUGUAUAAAAAAAACAUAUAUAAUUGUUAAAAAAAAUUACAAUUACAAAACUAAAUAUAUUAGAUACUUUUUUUGUAUAAUGCUAUAAGAAAAGAAUAGAAAAAUGCAAACUAUUGGUAAAAGUAUCAUGAAGACUUUUGUAUUGAAAGUUGGAUUACGUUUUUCUCUCUUUACUCAAAGAAUAAGUAAAUUGAUCUUUUUGUUAAAAAAAUCAUUCAUUUCUAUUGUUAAAAACUGAUUCAUGUAUAUCAGCAUGAGGUAUUCGUGGCAAGUCACAUGUCAUUAUUUGGUUAUUUCGUCAAUUAUGCCAAUUUUUAUAACAGUACAAAUGAAUGAAUUUUUUAACAAAAAGAACCAAUUGACUCUUCGAUAUAAUGUACAAGGAUUAAUUUAUCAAUUUUUUAGUAGAAGGGACAAAAUGCAAUCUGACUCUUAAUAUAAGAACCUCUAUGAUACUUUUAGCGCAAAUUAUUUAUGGUGAGGAGAACAAUUCCAAUUUAUUUAUAAUAAAUUAUUUGUUGCUGGACCUCAACUUAAAAAGCAUGUUACAAGUUGUUUAUGUAGCUUCAAAAGAAGAUAUUAUUUGUAUUUAUACUGAUAUUGAGAUCCUAAUUAGUUUGAUGAUAUAGUCAAUGUCUCCCCCCAAUUUGAUAAUUAAUUAACUGAGUUUUCGCAAACAUGAAAUUCUGCCUCAAGAAAUGAUAAUAAUUAAGCAAAAUCAAACUUGACAUUAAUUGAGAACAAACAACAUUAAUCAAACAUUACAUUAGGCUGAGGUAAUUGAACCGACAUGCCUAGUUAUUGAACUAGAACAAAUAUUACAACGACAAUUGUUGAAUGGCAAAAGAAAAACCCUAAUAUCCAACAUGAAAAACCAACAAGAAACACUAGAAAUGAAAGUAACUUAGACCAAACUUUAGCCAACAACAUGAUAAUAUAUCUUUUUUAUUCACAUUUGAAGCCUGGAGGAACCUCCUUCUGACAUGCACUAAGGAUUAGACUAAGAGAAACUGGGAUGUUGAGGUUGAUUCCAAGUACAUUGGCUUUAAUGGCAGUGCAAAGGCAAAGGGCAGCUUCCAAAUCAGCCAAUCCUUGAAGCAAAGCACAGCAUUUGCUGGAAGGAGGGGUUCCAACAAUCACGUUGACAAGUCCAAGCACGUCAGCACAGACACCGAGCUUCAAUGUGUCCUUAGGGCAAGAAGGUGGAGGGCAUGGUGGAGGUUUGGGUUUGCAUGAAUUGCAAGCAGUGGUGAAUGUUGAGUGGAAAAGAAGAGUGAAGAGCAGAAAGAGGGCACAGAGUUUGUAGGAAGCCAUUGCAGGCAGGCAGGCAGGCAGGC